This 58473-nucleotide long non-coding RNA is filed under the name Medicago truncatula (barrel medic). RNAcentral's name for it is "long non-coding RNA (MTRU_LNC002149)". The stretch from base 49159 to 49330 matches the Rfam family "MIR2619 microRNA precursor family". Lineage: Eukaryota; Viridiplantae; Streptophyta; Magnoliopsida; Fabales; Fabaceae. The record is from RNAcentral.
UUGUUUUGUAAUUUAUUUUCAUGCUGUAACAAUCAAUGAAUAGUACUAUUUCAUUUUCUCUUCUUAUCCAGAGAAAGGAAACGUAAAAAAUUGAAACUAGAAACCAAACUUCAUAUCAUUUUCUCUGAAAUAUAUAUAAUAAUAUAUACUUACUUAGCUUCUUCAAUUAUUCCUUCCAAGUGGGUCUAUAUAUCCUAGUAUCUCUUCUUAUACAAGCCAUCAUUACAAAAAUUUAGAUAAACCAAAACAAAAUCAGAUCUUAAUAUGGUGGUUCAUAGAAUAGAAUUGUGCAUAUCUAUGGUUAGAAUGGCCAUAGAAUUCGUUAUGGCAGUUGCAGAAACAGUUGUAAUUGUUCAAGAGAGAAACUCUGAGCCUUUUUCACCAAUCAAUCGUGCAAAUACUCCUCUUCCUUUUUAUGGUUAUCUCCGUUGAGUCGAGUCGAUUUCAACUCUACUUCUGUUUAAUUUGUUAAUUAGUCUUUUGUUUUUUUCCAUUUUCUGAAACUGAAUUCUUCAAGUUGUAAAUACAGAAGAUCAGUAUCAUAAUAUUUCCUUUGAUAAGUUUGUAUCAAAUUGAUGCCCAUGUUUUUUGGGUUUGUUGAAUUAUCAAUUUUAGUUCUUAUUCAAGCUCUUGGUUAGUUCCAAGAUGCAAUCAUAUAUAUGUUGAUUAUGAUGAAUGAAAUCUAUAUUUUGUUUAUGUUUUUUUCUUUUCUCUCUUUCUACUUCUUCAUAUGGUUAAUAUUCUUCUUGUUCAACUUUCAUUGACCUUUGCUAAAUAAAUUUCUUCAUUUUAAAUUUUUAUAGGCAAAUGUUAAUGAUUAAUUAUAUUGUUAAAGAGGACGGAGGAAUGUUUGCAUCAAAUCCUAAAUUUCUUUCUUAACCACCAUGCUACACCUUCAGGGACAAAUUUCUUCAUUCUGUAAAACACAAAGAAACGACUAUAAACUCUCUGUUUCUGUCUUUACUUUGUUUAAGGUUUUUAUUUUUUGGUCUAAGUUUAAGGUUUAUAUAUACUUAUGUCUCUGGUUUUUUAAUUUUUAUUUGAAAUGUUUCCUGGAAUUUUGUUUGGGAGUGAAAUUGGUUUCGUCAAAGCCAGAGGAAUCUUGUUUAAUUAAGAUAUUUUCUGUUUAAUUGACCUAUAAGCAAGGUUGGUUAUCUUUCAUUGGUUGCUGAAAAAUAAAGAUACGUGCCAUCCCAAGACUUUCUUUAUACUACUAUUCCGUCCUAAAUUCCUCUAAUUUUUAAGGUCUUGGUAAUGUGUCCUUAAAACAAUAUUAAGAAAUAAAAAAAUACUUGUCUUAGAAAAGGUAAUUUUUAAGUUUUAAGGUAGUUGGUUACACAAUUUGUAAGACAACAUUUUCAUAUGCAGGUACUUUAUCAUGUGAAUUUAAUGAAACUAGGGAAUUUAGGGAAGCUUAGGUGUUUGGAUUGAGGGUUUAGGAGGGGAAGAGAGGGGAUGUUAAUUUCUCAUUUUUAAAUUACAAACUAUAUAACAUAACAUGUUUUUUUUUUUAAAUAAAGUAAGUGUGCUUAAAAUAUUAUAUGAUCGUUUAUCAUGUUAAUAUGUUAACUUUUUAAAAAACAUUUCACAGUAUCGUAAUUUAAAAAUAAAAAGUAAACCCUCCCCUCCUAAACCCUCCAUCUAAACACACCCUUAGGGUGUUGGAUUGAAGCAAGAAAAACCUUUCAGGUGAGCUACCCAUUGAGCUUUUUGCAUUACCAACUACCAAGUGUGGAAGGAUGUUGUUCUUGAGGGUGUCAUCACCAUAGUUAGGAUCCUUAUGUUACGGAAUAUAAAAAGGUGAUUUUAAUUUUCAAUAGUUUAGUGUGGUGAUGUUCUCUUAAAAUAUGUUUUGACUUCCAUGCUGGUUAAUUUUCAAUAGUUAAGUAACUUUUUAUACAUUUUAUCCAAAAAAAAUAAAAUUAGUGAGGCACGUAUCCGCAACAUUUAUAACUACUUUAGACUAGAGUAUCAUCCCGUCCUGAAUUUUAUCAUGAAAAAGAUAGUAAUAUUUAGUUGGACAAUGAAAUCUCUUUCAGUUGGACGGACAAAGACACCUCAAAGAUUUUUUUUUCUUCUGUUUUGAAAGAAAUUUGAUCCAUUCCUUUAAUAAUCUAAUACUACUAAUAAAAAAAUCCAUUAUUCUCUUCAUAUACUAUAGUGGGAUAGUUCAAAUUGCAAUGGGAUUUAACUAAUUUUUAAUUAAUUAUUUAAAUAAUAUUAUAAGAAAGUAUAAAAUAGUGAAUAAAAUGGUGUAAAUGAAAGAUAAAAUGAAAGAAAAAAGAGACUUUAAAACUAUAUAUCGCCUACUUUUGUAAGUGUAAUUCAAUUGGUAAAUAUUAGAGAUAUUAUUUGUUGUGGUCGGGGUUCAAACUUCAGAUUCUACAUUUUUUUCAUACUUAAAUGUAUGAAUCUAACCACAAAACUAUUUGACAAAUUAAAAUUAUAUAUUGCCUUUAUGUAUAGUAAUAGAUACUGCAAAUAAAUUUUCUACAACUACCCAUGGGUUUAAUCCUUAUUCCUUACACAAGUUAUUCGUCUUUCUCUCUCUCAUUUAACAUUCUUAAUCUAAUAAAUAGAAACAUAUGGUAUGUUAAGGUAAAAUAUUUUUUUUCUAGCACUAUAAAUAUCAUUGAAGACUCAAAUUUUUGGUGUUCAGAAAGUUUGAAAUCGUGGCACGAUUUUGGAUUAGAAUGUGGAGGAUUUUAUAGAAGAAAAAUUGCGGCACGAUGAACAGAAUCGUAUCACGAUUUUUGGAUAAGGGUGCAAUACAAUAUUGUGUACGAGUUUAAUCAUGGUAUGAUUUAGGCAAACCGUGACACGAUUUUGCCUGUAUUUGAACACAAUAUAAGCAUCUUUUGACCCAUUUGUUGAGUGAGCUCGAUAAUAUAAUGAAAAUCAAAGGAGAUAACUUUUAGGAAACUUUGAAACUAAAGAUUGAGGGUCUUUGUGUGAGAUUCAAAAUGUCCAAUUGUGAAUCUUGGAUAACCUAAAGACGAGGCUCUUAGAAAAGGGUUGGUGCCUUUUGGGGAGAGGUUCACGGGGUUGGAAAACACAUGAGUGGAGAGUCAUCUGUGAGCAACUUGGAUGAAUCUUGGAAAAACAAAACUGAAGAUCCUUAGGAAAUCAAAGGCUAAAGUUUGGUUCUCUUUUGGAAGGUAGAUUAUAGAGCAAGGAAACCUCGUAUUUUUUUUCCUAUUUUAUUUAUUCUUUCAUGUCGAGCUUUCGAAAGCCACUAGGGAGGGAGAAUGAACGAUUGACUGCUAAAGAUCAUGAAUAAAGCAUUGGUAGCUUUGCAACGGAGAAGAACGAUGAUUCUUCCCAAAGGUUUUCCUUACAUGUUGAAGUGAACAGGGGCGGUACCAACUACGACUAGAAAACGGCCACUGAAAACACAUUGGGCGGGUGAAAUCAUUGAGCCUUUUGUACAUGGGAAGAGAUUGGAAAAAAAAAGUAGAAAUUAUGUUUGUUCUAGGAGAGCUUGUUGAAGCUAAUUUCAUGUAACCCUUUUGCAUCUCUUUGUAAAGAACUCAUUGAUAGUGAAGUGGAGAGAUCUCUCUCCCCUAUAGUAGGUCAUUGUUGGACCGAAUUUGGUAAACAAUUAUUUGGUGUUCUCUUUUCUCUACUCACUUUAUCUUGUUUAUUCUUUGACUUGAUUGUAGUUUUUCUUUACACUUGGUUGUUGCUUGUGGUUAUUUUGGUUAUUGAUUGUCAUUGAUUCUUACCCCACACAUCUAAAUUUCAUUGAUAUGAGAAUUAGAGUUACCAAAUUCACAACAAAUAUAAAUAUAUUCUUUAUUUUCUUGUUUCAAAGCGUCUGAUGGUUACUUGCACAUAAAAGUGUAAUGUAGAGAGGUUUUGCGGUUCAAAGUUGUAUCUCAACCUAUUGAGUGUGUGUUUGAAUUAGCUUUUGCAUUGCGAAUAUCACGUCCCGAGAUAAACUGGAUGUAGAAAUCUUGAAGGUACAAAAGUAAACUUUUGUGAAAACGUGAAAAUCCACCGUGAUUCUCUAGAAACCAUUGCUAAACCAAACGAGCACCGAAUGUCCCCCCACUUUUUACCAUUUGAACUAUAUUUAUGAAAUACCAAUUUUCAUUUCAGUCCCUACAAAAUUUCCUUUCAAACAUUUUUGUUUCCCCUUAUUUUCAUAAUGAGACAUGUCUAUAACAGAGGUCCACAUGGCAAGUGUUACCUAAACCAUUUUUAGCAUGUGAAAUUGUUGAGACGAUCAUUUCUAUUGUGUAUAAAUGAGACAAGUGUUGCAUCAUGUAUAAGUUAGUUUUUAUCAUUGAAUCAAUAAAUCUCACUAUUAAAUUAAAUGAUAUAUGAUGUGACUUAUUGAUCAAAUGAUAUAAAUGAUACUUGUGCAUGAUGCAAGACAAUUUUAUUCAUGUAUAUUAGGCAAAACUCGAUGUGACUUAUAAAAAGGUAAAUUCUUAGAUACUCCAAAGUUUAGUUGAGUACUGAUGCUAUGGAGGUAAAAAACUCUUUCAAAAUUUGAUUUUAAUUUUGGAUAAAUUAAUACAAAAAUAUGAUAUGACAUUAAAUAAUUAGAUGAUAUUACAUAUCCGACUAAACUUAAGAGUGGAGUGUGUUCACCUUAAUUAAGUAGUUCAUCUAUGAGUAGUGAUAUAUGUACAAUCAUUUGGAACAACUUUGAUGGUAACUUUCAUUUUCUCUCUUCUUAUUGGUCCAAAACAAUAUGGAGAGAAAAAUGAAGAGAGAGAAUGAGAAUAUAACGUGAGUAUGAGAGAAAAAGUUGUCAAAAAGUUAUAAUAAAAUAGUUGUACAAAUAUCAUUUAUCAACCUAAUUUUAUUAAAUGUAUAUGCAUGUCAAAAAGUAGUAUUGGUGGUGCAUAAAGAUAAAUCCAUGAGCUAUUAUUAAUUACCAGCACUACUAUUAGCGAAAAGCAUUACAUCAGCUGCAACUAAAAUAUCUUCAAUAAUAUUUUCUGUAUACUUUUGAUGUAUUUAUUAUUAUUAUACAGCUGAAUCAAAAUGGGAAAGACAAUGUGACAUGAGUCAAAGUGAUGACUUGGAGUUGCACUUGCAGGAUUGGGAUCUGCGAUUUAUCUGGCAACCACAUUGUAUAAAAAAACUUGCUGAGAUCUUAAACUCUUUAAAACGUGAUCGUUGAUUUUAAUUAAUAUAUACAAAAGUUAAUUGAUUAAUUUUAAAAAAAAUAAUAACUACAUUUUAAAAGUUGUGAUAUUUCUUAUAAAUAAGACCAAUUUUUUUUUUUUUGAAAAUUCUCUUGUAAUAAGGACCCAAGUGUUGGAUGAACCAGAGUUGAGAAAUGUGCUGGCCUUAACGCAUCAAAGAUACUCACGAUUUAUGUUUUUUUUUUGGUCUGAAGAUAUUAUUAGAGAGUUAGUAGGUGUAUGUAUGUCCGAUUUGGAUCCUCUCCAACUAUUUUUCUGAUAUUGUUUGUUCUGUUGUUAUCUAAGUCAUUCAUUCCCCUUUUUUCUCUCUAUCUCUUUAGUACCGUUUCUUGUUCAUCUAUGAACCAAUCAACCCAUUGAAUCAGAAAAGAAGAGAUUACCGUACAAAAAAGAUAGAAGAGGAUCCAAAGCUAUGUAUGUCUUUGUCGUCUUUAUUAAGAUCUUGUCCUAGAUGGACACUCAUUAUUUUCAAUAAUGGAUCAAGUGGACCUUCGACCAUAGAUCUCGUGAAUGAAUCAUAUGAUCGUGAUAUUUGUGUAUGAAUAUCAUAUCUCACGGUCACGAGGUCCAGGGUGCACAAAUAUUGUCCUCAUCUAUCUCUAUAUAAUAAAUCAAAGUCACAUUAAUUCAUUAUAAUUUUAUAAAUAGAGUAAACAUAUUAAUUAGUGUGGUAAGUCAUAUUGUCACACAUAUCAUUAGAUGCAAUUGUAAGUGCAUAGAACAAAUUAAAUCGUAAAAAGAAACCAUAUCCAUGAUGCUAUCUUUUCUUUUUUUUUUACAUGAUUCAUUAGUUCAAAUUUAUAGAGCACAUCGAUAUAAUCAUAUAAUGUAAAUUCGCUAAAAACAAAAAUGAUGAAUCUGUGAAUAGGCUCAGAACAUCCAUGUUAAUAGCAUAAAACGGCAAAGUACAAAUGCCUACACAUAUGACUAUAUUUAAAUCUCCGGAAUAACCAUGUCUCCGGAUCUGCAACGUUGAUGACGCCAAAAUCAUUGAUUGGAUCUACACUGGAUUGAAGCUGAUCUGACAAUCUGAACCGAUCAAAUACCUAAGAGAAACAAAAAAAAAACGUCGCACAAAGACAACGAACAUACCAACGUCGCACGAAGACGACGAAAUCACAAAAUAAAAAAACGAAAUAGAUAUAAAAAUCACUUCUUUCAAUAAAAGGGAAAGAGAAAAACGAACUAGAGGGGUGAUUUUGGGUCAAAAAUUGACCCUAAAUUAUCUCUCUUUGGUAGAUGAAUGAGAAGAAAAAUUAAAAUUUUGGUGACGGUUGACGAGAAAGAAUGUCAUCGCUAUCUUGUCUAGUAUUCUAGUUUUUGUAGAAGUGUAGUGUGGGCUAGCUCUAGUUCCCCCCAUUCUUUAAAACCUUGAUAUGAUUUGUCUAUUUCUUUUUGUUGCUUUCGCAUAUAUAUGAACGGUGGUGUAGCUUCGCCUAAUCAUCACUUUACAAACUAGACCCACUCCAUUCAUUAAAUUAUUAUUAUUAUUAGUUGGCAUUUUAGAUAUUGAUAACGAUAAUAAAAGGGCAAUUAUUCUCUUGAUCUCAAUAAUACUACAUCACAGCAUAAAGCACCGACACUCACUUAUGGCCGAUUUGACACACGUUAUAUGCAAACAGGAAAAAUAGAUGAACUACCUGCACUCUUAAAUUUAGUCAGAUAUGUACUAUCAUUUAAUUAUUUAAUGCCAUAUCAUAUUUUUGUAUUAAUUUAUCUAAAAUUAAAAUCAAAUUUUGAAAGAGUUUUUUACCUCCAUAGCAUCAGUACUCAACUAAACUUUGGAGUAUUUAAGAAUUUACCUUUUUAUAGGUCACAUCGAGCUUUGCCUAAUAUACAUGAAUAAAAUUGUCUUGCAUCAUGCACUUGAUUUAUAAGUCACAGUAGUGAUAUUUGAACAACUCAUUUUAGACAAUUUAUGUGACAACUUUUUUUUUCUCUCUUUUCAUCGAUCAAAAACAAUGGAGAGAGAAAAAGGAAGAGAAAGAAUAAGAGUAUAAUGUGAGUAUGAGAGAGAAAAUUGUCAAAAAGUUGUCACAAAGUGGUUGUACAAAUAUCAUUUCUCUAAGUCCAACAAAACAAGCGAUAUGUCCUCGAUUCCGACACUUGUAUAUGCUAAAACACUGGUGGAAACUUUGAACCAAAAACAUAUAUUUUUAAAGAAGUUAUACUCACCUAUCUAAAUUGGUACUGGAGAGAAUAAAUCUUAUGAGACAUUGAGGAAAUAUAUUAAGUAACAAUUAUAAAUUAUCUUAUAGUUUAUAGGUGUAAAACUAGCUUAUAGUUAUAAGUUAUAACUUAUGGUUGAUAGCUAAAAAAAGGCUAACCGAUUAAAAUUAAAGGGAUUGCUAAAAAUAGUUUUAUAAGUGACUGAUAAAUAUCAAAUAACAUUUGUUUUUGAAGAACUAAUAUUUAACAAAUUAUGUCAAGUUAAACAAAAUUUCAGUCUACUCAUUAUUUGUCAUAUUUUUUUAUAUGGAGCGCUUUUUCGUUAGAUUGCUAGUAGAUACCUAUAUUUAGAGUGUUUAUGUACCUAGCAAUUGUUCACUGAUAUCUAAAACACGUUAAACAAUUGUUGAUUUUUGUGUAGACACUUUUUAAAUCGGUUAAGAAAAUUUAAAAAAUGAUUUAACCACUUAAUUGCCGUUUGGCACAUAACCGGUAAUUUAAUUUUCGUUCAGUCUUUUUUAAGGGUGUCUAAAGAGCAAUUGUCUAACUAGAGCUAUGAGUUAUGAAAAAUGAGGCAAGCCUCCAGCUCAAUUUGUUGGAGCCUCUAACCCAAGAGAAAACAUGAACUAAAAUAAGAAAAAUAUACCAUAAUUUCUUUUCACACCCUUCUUGUUUCUUGCGCGCCCUUCACUUUUUUAAUUUUACCUAGUAUAUAAUUUGAAACAUUUUUUAUCCCAUUGGCCAACAUGAUAUGUACCAGGAGCGGGUGCUGGUGCAUCUGGCACCUUAGCAUAAGCAACCUGAUGCUCCUCUGCCUCCUCCUCAUUUUAGGGGUUCUUCUGCCUCCUCCUCACACAGAGGAUCUACAUGCUCAAGCUCAAGCUCUGCCGCCUAAGACGAUCCAGAUCCAUCACACCUACCAUUUCUAACUCGCUCAUUCUGAACCAUCCGGUCUCGAUUCGCCGAGCUAGUCAUGGUCAUCAAGUUGUCUCUAACACGAUUGAGACGUGCCUCCAUAUCUGAAAGCAAUCCAAAUCAAUAUAUUCAACAAAAUUCCGAGACAAAUCAACAUUCAACAGUCCUAAUCCUAUUUAUGACCGUAUAAUAUGAAUUCCUUAAUAAUUUAUUUCGAAUUAUAUAAUCUGAAUCAAACCAACGCCCAGAAAAAAUUAGACAACUUAAAGAAAAAUUACAUGAUAAAUGUGAGUUAACCUUUUGUUUAGUUAUUAAAAAGGGUUGAAAUGAAAUAUAAUUGAGCAACUUCACUUCAAGAAUGGCAUAAUGUGUCAGGGUUCGGAUUUUGAGUGGUUUGAUAGUAGUCUCGGUCUAAAUUCGUAACCGUUGAAAUGAAAAAAAAGGUUCUUUGUCUUAAAUAUAUAUAUAUAUAUGGGAUGUUUCGGCUAUUAUUAUCCAAACGAAGACAAAACUAAAAGUUUGAAAGGCGCGUGAGAAAGACGGAAACCGAAAAAAUAUAUUCUCAAAAUAUAGAGAUCUUCCAUCUAGUCCUCCUACCCUACAAAUCCACUUAAAUAAGGAAAUCAUACCUUUUUAAAUUUUGAAUUUUCACUCUUUCCAAAAUCCGGAUUUUUUUCUUUUACAAAAGAAAAAGAGAAAGUGCGAAAUCUAGAAUAUGUUUGUUUUGAACAUUUUAUUCUAAAAAAACAUUUAUUUUUAAAUGAAAUAUCCAAAUCACGAUCAAGUUUUAGAUUUUUCAAAAGAUAGAAAAUUCAUUUUUCAAUUGUUUUGUUAGUGUCGAUCGGUUGAUGUUGCAUCAGUCGAUAACCCAUAAUUUGUACAACCAUUUUGAUAACAAUUUUUAUAACCAUUUUGAUAAUAAUUCUUGGGAUAAUCUAAAUUUUUUUGGACAAAAACAAUACAUAGAGUAUAAUACAAUAAAACAACGCAACAAGAUGAGAAAUCAGACAAUGCCGCACAAGACAAAGAGCAAUGCAACUCCGCGCUUAAACGAUGAAAUCACGAAGAAAAAAUCCUAAACAAUGUGAAAAUUACUUAUUUAGAUUGAAAUGGGAAAGAAAAAAAAAAUUGAAGAUGGAUGAUUUCAAGUAAAAAUUGACUCAAAGCCACCCCUCAAUAAAGAAAAUAGAAGAGAGAACCGGAGAAAGUAAGCUAGAGCCGACUUCUUAAAGAGAGAAAUGUCGGCUAAAUAUUUUUAGGGUAGUGUUAAAGGGCACAUGUUAAGAAACCUAAAAGAGUAAAUAUUCUAUAAAAUUUUGUGCAUUUAAAUGAUUAAAAAGUUAAAUAUUGAAUGCAAUGCACAUAUUUCAAUAAAAAUUUUCUAUAUUUGAAUCAUUAACUUGUGUCUUGAGGGCACAAAUUAACAUUUCCUAUAUUUUUAAUACGCUUUUAACGCAAGUUAUUCUAUUAGUUGAAAGUCAGUAAUCCCACAAAAAAUUAUGCAGCACUCACAUGAUAUAUGACUUAUUUGAAUUUCAAUUAAUAAGAUAGUAUGUUACUAGCACUCAUUUUAGAGUAAUAUAAAGUAUAAACUCCUCACGCUUGCUUACAUUUUGUAGUGUCUACAAAGCAUAAACUCUAACUUGGUUACUAGGAAAGCUUGAAAUGAUAAAUUUGGAGGUUAUCAACAUUGGAUUUAAUAAAAUUAUUUUGCAUUCUGGCAGUUCGAAAUUUUCCCCAGUUGAUUUUUGAAUAUUUGGGAGGAUUCUUAUCGUUUGUCAACUCUUCUAAGGGCUCAACAUCAGUGUAGAGUGCUGGUUUUAGAAAGAACGGAAUGGAAAACCUAUCCUUCUCAGAGUUCACCAUUACCCUGUGCUCUACACUCUCAUAAGCAUCAUUGCUCCAAACCUGCAUUACUUUGGUUCUAUAUCAAUCUUGUUUAAACACACACUCUAACAUACAAUUUAAAAUGUAUGAAUAAUCAUGUAUGAAAAAAGAGAAAUGCUAGUAACACACAUUUUUCAACACACUCGUUUUGAUCGGUUAAAAUUCACAUGAGAUCCACAUGAUUUAGUAGGACCCAUGUGAAUUUUAACCAUCAAAGAGGGUAUGUUGAAAAGUAUCUGUUGCUAAAAAAAAAAUAUGUUGAUCCUAUAUAGUAUAUGAGUAUAUGACUAAUUUAACAAUUAAAAUAAGAUGGUGAGAAAAAUAAUGAAGGGUUUGGUACCUGAAUCAUAUCACCAACAUUAAUAAUGAAGGAAUUGAAAAUGGGCUUAACUUGAAUCCACUCUCCAUCUGAUUUUCUCUUAACUUGCAAACCACCAACAUCAUCUUGAGCAAGCACAGUUAAGACACCAGUGUCCUUGUGACGUCCGAGACCAAGAGCCAGAUGAGGGUAGGGACAAGGUGGAUAAUGGUUGAGUCUUAUAUUGCUGGUGUUAUGUAUAAAGAAGUCACGGAACCUAUUUGGUACUAAACCCAAACUCAUUGCAAUAAGUUCCAUCAAUUUAUAUGCUAGUUUUUCUACUUCUUCUGCAUAUUCUUGGCAUGCUUCCCUGUUAAUAUUAGAUAAAGAUUUUGCAUAGUUUUUUUAGGCCAAAUUUAUGAGAUUGAGUUAAGCCAAAAAAAACUAAGAUUAGAAAACAUAGCUAAAAAUAAAAUUGUGAGUGUAUUGAGAUACCUAAACUCAGGAGGAUUCUUAGGCCACCGAUUUUCCCAUUGGAACUGAAAAGAAGGUGGUAUAAAAGUUGGUUGUUGCACAUUAAAAUCAUAAAUUUCCUUCCAGUCCCUAACAUUUUUUGUAUGCUCUGCUUCAAAAUAUCCAAGCAAGUUAACUUCAUCUCUUCUCACUUUAACCUUCUCUUCCAAACUAAGUUCAAAAAAUUUGUUUGCAGAUUCUUCAAUUCUCUCACGUUUAUCCAAAGGCACUUUGUGAUUAAUAACUUGAAAGAAACCCCAUUCUUUACAUGCUUGACCAAUUUCUUUGACCAAGUUUUCGAUGGAAAGUGAGUUGGUUUCAUCAUCUUGGUAGUUUAUGGGAGAGAGAUCAAUUAGAGGGAUGCUUUCAGCAAUGAUUAUGGAAGAUUUUGGUCUGUGUUCUGGAGAUUGAAUGAAAUGUGAACUUGGUUCUAUUUCUAUAUCUCCCAUGAUUGUUUGAUCCUGUGAUGUUGGAGACAGAAUGUUUAAUCUGAUGCAAGUGCAAGUACAAUUCAAGAUUGAGAAUUAUAUCCAAAAUAAUAUAAAUUCAAGACUAUGAAACAUCAUGUACUUACACCAAAAAAAGGGGAGAUCGAGUAAAAUGAACCAGGACGGGAUUCAAUUCAGGAUUCUGUUUUUCUUACGUUAAUAUUUUUUUUUUUUUUUUACCACUUUAAUUAAUUUAAAGUAUUUGCAUACAGGAAAUUCUUACAUGGUCAUAACCCUAAAUGAAAAAUAUUCGAACACACUUACAUCAAAUGAAAAAGUUAAAACAAAAAUAAUAUAAUCACAUCAAUCAACAUCAUUUAGUUUUACUCUCAUUUUUUGUUUUUUAGGCUAAAUAUGUCAUUGGUUCUUGCAGUUUCACCAAAUUUUGGCAUUAUCCCUGCACUUUUUUUGUUUGGCAUUAGUCCCUACAUUUUGUAAAAGUUUUGGCUUUGGUCCUUAUGUUAAGUCCAAGUUAAAAAAAAGGCUUAAUUGAUCUGCCGGUCCCUUAAUUUAUUUCUUUUAUUCAAUUUGGUCUCAUAAGUCUUAACUUUCUCAAACACAUCACUUAACUCGUCUGCUAUUAAUUAACGUGGUCCCCUCAAAAUAAUGAUCGUUGGAUGAGGGAGAUCUAUCAGAGCUUACAGUGUAUCACCAACAUUUGAUUUAUUUACAUUCUUCAUCUUCUUCCCCAUCUUCAUCUUCAUUCAUCUUUCAUAAUCUUUAUAAAAUAAAAUAAAAAAUUCAACUUUUUUUCUUUUAAAAAUUUACAAACUCAAUAAUUAACACCACCACCAUCUUCCAAAUAAGAAUCAAAACUAAAUUAAAUUGGUUAUAAAUUUUGUUUCCAAAUUAUAAAAAUUAAAAACUCAAAUUUAUGUAAAACCUUUUUUUUUUUUUUUGUACGGUUGCUUUCAAAUUAAUCCACUUACUAAAACCCAGAUUUUAACAAUUGUAAUUGCUUCUUACUAAAUCCCAUAUUAUUUUUACAAUUGCUUUUUCAAAUUAAUCCAAAAAGAACCCAUCUUUCAUCCUUCAAAAUCAAAACUCAUCCUUUAUCAUAAUAAAUUUAGAGCAAUAGAACAUAUAUUUUACUAUCAUUUAUGGUAUCAUAUUUGCCUUUUAUUUAACAACUUUCCAUCGAUCCUCAUGGCCGCUGAUACACCCUCUGAAACCAAAGAAAUUUUUUAAUUAAACACCAGUACCCAACUCCCUAUCAAAUUAAACUCCACAAACAGUUUCACUCUCUUCUUAUUGCUCGCGAUCUUGAAGGGUACGUGACUGGAACAACACCAGAGAGAGAAAUAAACCAGAUAUAGCUUGAGAGAGAGAGAGGAAUGAGUUUUAAUUUUUUAUUUUAAUGAAUUUUUAUGUGUUUUGGAUAAUGGGUAAUGGAUUUUUAGGCUUGAGUCUCCGAAUGGAAAAAAAGAUGAUGCGAUGUAAAAAGAUGAAGAAGAGUAGGAAUUGAAGAUCUGGUUUUUGAAUUUAUUGAAAGAUUUAAAGUUGAUAGCUGAGAAGGAACACGAUCAACGCAAAUACUUUAUGGAACAAACAUUCGAUGAACAGUAACCUGGUUUUGGUGUUGUUGUUGUGCGUCAGUAUCGAUUUGAUUUAGCGUUUGGAUUUUGUUAUUGAUAUGGAUUCAAUGUUUGAUUUGGAUUCCAAUUUUGUUAUUGAUUUUGAUUUGGAUUCUUCAUCUUUGUUAUUCAUGAUUAUUCUUUGUGUGAACAAUAACCUCUGUUUCAAACGUAAAAAAAAAAAAAAAAAAAAAAAAAACCUUUGUUUCAUGAUUCUUUAUCUUUGAUUUAGAUUUUGGGUUUUUUCCAAUUUUUUUAUGGGCUUUUUAAAGUUGGGUUUUUUAUUUUAUAAAGAUGGUGAAGGAUGAAUGAAGAUGAAGAUGGAGAAGAACAUGAAGAAAGUAAAUAAAUCAAGUGUUGGUGAUACACUAUAAGAUCUGAUAGAUCUCCCUUAUCCAACGUUCUCUAUUUUGAGGGGACCACGUUGAUUAAUGACAAAUGAGUUAAGGGAUGUGUUUGAGAAAGUUAAGAUUUAUGGGACCAAAUUGAAUAAAAGAAAUAAGUUAAGGGACCGACAGAUCAAUUAAGCCUAAUAAAAAAAAAUAGCAAAAGUAACGGUGUGCCACAUGGAUCAAUCAUUCCAUGCCACAUGGCACUUUCAACAUUAUCAUUAGUCUUUGCACUUUCAACAUUUUUUUUAUACUAGUCCAUGCAUUUUGACAUUGAUGCCUCACUUUUUUUCUUAACAAUAGAUGAAAAUUAACAAAGUAGAUGGAAAUUAAAUUGCACAUUGACGAUACUUGUAAUUAUACAUUCUUAUAAGUGUAAUCAUGUGAAUUUUGACGGAGGAAACCCCAAAAAUAAAUAAAAUGCUCAUGCAGCGACUACCUCGAAUGCACCUGCAACCACCGCUUCAGAUGCACCUGUUGCACAUGUUAUUAAAUUAUGCAUAAUGCUGCUUUAAAUUACCAUGAUUAGGCAUAUAAGAAUGUAUAGUUACGUAUUGCCAACAAUUUAAUUUUCAUCUACUUUGUUAAUUUUUAUCUAUUGUCAUGGUGUUAAUGUUUGUGAUGCUGAAUCCAGAAGUCCUAGCUCAAUUGGUAAAAUGUCAAAAUUGUUAGGGCAAUGACAUAAUCAGGGUUUGAACCAUGGUACCUCUACUUAUGUAUGAGAGUUUAUAAUGGCUUUGUCAUUUCGUCUAUCUACUAAAAAAAAUGUUUGUGAUGGUGAAUGUUAGAGAAAGAAAAUAUGUGAUACAAUUAAGGUUUAAUCAUUCUUAAAAAAAGACUAUUUUUUCAUUUUUUAUAAUUAUACUCAAUAAAAAUAAUGAAAAAAUAAUAAUAAACCAUAAUAAUAUCAUUGAAAAUAUUUAUAAAAUAAAGUUCACGGAUCAAUACGAAAGUGUAUGGAUUAAUAUAAAAAAUUUUGAAAGUGCAAAAAAUAAUGAAUAAAAUAAUAAUUAAAAAAUUAGAUUUUUUUGUCUUUUAGUUUCUCCAUCCCAUAUUUACCAAAAUAUCAGCAUAUUUUUUUCUUCUCAAUGCACAUGAGAUAUUUUGACAUUCCACGUAUUAUCCAAGAGAGAUUUGAUCUUCUUAAUGAUGUUUCAAGCAGUUGCAUUUCCUAUAUUUUCUCCGUUCAAGCUCACACCACCACUUCCGAGUCAAGAUCAAGUUGAACUUCCAAAUUCACAAUAUCACAUCUUCUCGCUAUAUGCAUAACCUUUCGUAUAAACCCUAAAGCUCCACCAUGUAAGUUGUAGUAGUCCCAAGAUUUCUUGAAAAACUAGAAAUCUACAUGCCGUUAUCAUCGCACACUAAUCCCCUACAACGUGCUAAACCAGCCAUGACUUGGACCCUUCCAAGAGAUAUUAAAAAUAAGGAAAAUGUUAAUAAGUAUCUUUAGUAACUUUAAAUAAUACUUCCUCCAUUUUAAAAUGAGUGUCGUUUUAGUCAAAAAAAUUUGUUUUAAAAUGAAUGUCGCUUUACAUUUUCAAUGCAACUUUAAUUUUUUUCUUCCAACUUUACCCUCAAUAAAUACUCAAACUUUUCUCUCUCACACAAUUUUCAAUACAACUUUAAGUUUGUAUUUUUCUUAUAAAGUAAGGUUAUUUUAGUAAAAUUGUUAUGACAUUUGACUACUUUAUUCAAUUUCUUAAUCUGUGUGCAAUUGGCUAAAGCGACACUCAUUUUGAAACGGAGGAAGUAAAUUUUUGUCAAAGUUUAUGAAAUCAAUGCAUUGAAAAUUGUAAUUUUGACUUUUUUAAAAAAUAAUUUCUUUAUUAGAAAUCCUUAAAAAGUGUUCUUAGGACACUCCUUAAUAAGACCUUAGAAAUAACUCUCCUUUCUUAAUUUUACAAGAAAUUACAAGAAAUAAAAACCAACGUUUAUUAGGAUCAACCAAAUGUAUCAAACUAACAAUGCAAUAAGAUAAAAUUGUCUAUUGCCACUUAUCACAAUGAGUGCAACAAGUAUUUCCUAAAUUCCACUUGGCCAUUUGAAAAUUAGUUAACAAGCUGUCACUUCUAAUUGACCAAGCAAAAAUCAAAUUGGAUUCUCUUCUUCACUCUCAUGUACAUUUCACCUAACUCUUCUUACCCUCUCUCUUCCUCUUGAUUAUUUUUAAGUUUUUUUUAUUGAAGAGAUAUUAAAAUUAAGAGAGAUAGAGAGCUACGAGAGAGAUGUAGAGGAGAAUUAAGAAGAGGAUUCGAAUCCUAUAAAAUUGAGAUUCAUAUUAGUGUCGUAUAAAUAAGACUCAUAUUGCAUUGUAAAAUACAAUUGAAGAGAGUAAAACAAACUAUAUUCUUCUCUCUUUCUCUUCUUCAUCUCUAUUCAUCAUUAUCUUCCUCUUCUUUUGACACAUUUAAUCUACUUAUGCUUAAAUAUCAAUCAAGGAAUAAAAUGUUACAAAUAAGAUAAAGGAAAUGGAAGGGUAUUUGCCUCACUUCAACGUGAACAGAGUGGAGUUGAAAUUGUUCGUUCCUUCCAAAUUUCAAGAUAAAGUAUCGUACAAGUUAAAAUUAAACAAAUGAAGAUUAAAGAAAUACUUUACUCUAGUAAUAAAAUGGGGAAGGCUAAAUAUUUUACUCUAGUAAUAAAAAAAUACUCCAUAAUAAUUGAUUAAAAAAAACCUUCUAUAACAUAUUAUACCAACUUUAAGCUAUCUUAAAGUGAUGAAUUUGGAUAUUCUCCACAUUUUUCUUUUUUAAAGUGUCGCUCUUUUUAUUGAUAAGAAACUUGCCCCAAUUGAAAGGUUUAUAUUUUGGAGGGUUUUCGUCAUUUAUGAGUUCAUCCAAAGGCUUGACUUCAAUGUAGUGUGCUGGGAAAACACCGAAGGCAAUUGAAAACCUUUCUUUCUCAAAGUUGACUAUAACUCUAUGUUCCACACUCUCAUACUCAUCAUUGCUCCAAACCUUCGCAAACAAAAUAAUUUCAAUCGUCAAAUAAAAUUAUAGGUUAAAUAUGUUUUUAAUCCCAACAAUAUAUUUUGUAGUCGGCCAACUCAUGCGUAUCCUAAGUAGCAUAAAAAAAAAAACUAAAUAUAAUGAAUUAGGGCAAAAGUACCUGAGUGAGAUCACCAACGUUGAUGAUGAAAGCAUUUGGGGUGGGUUUCACAAGAACCCAUUCUUGUGAAAUUUGAUGCUUCACUUCAAGACCAGCAACCUCAUCUUGGGCAAGAAUAGUUAAGGCACCAGCAUCCUUGUGUCUUCCCAUGCCAAGAGCUAGCUCAGGAGAAGGACAUGGAGGAUAGUGAUUGAUUCUAAACACGCUAGUUGUAUCCUUGAAGAAUUCUUCAAACCUCAUUGCUUCAAGCCCUAAGCUCAAAGCUAUUAACUCCAGCAACUUAGAGGCCAAAUUUUCCAUCUCCUUAAUAUACUCUUCAAUUAUAUUCCUGCUCAUGUUGACAUUAAUUUUAAACAUAACCAAUUAAAUUGAGAGUCAUUCCAUGGUUAAAAGAGUGUUUGCAACGUGGUUCCAAUCGAGUUUGAGAUAAAAAAACAAUCUAGUACAAAAACUAAACGCAAUUUAAUUUGGAUUGAUUUUUAGUUAUCGAAAUUACAAUUAUAAAAAUCUAUUAUAAUGCAACCAUAAACAAGUUUAAUACAAAAUAUAACAGACAAUAUACUAAAAAUUAAUAUUAUAAAAUAGCUAGCAAUGAAUUAUUUUUGGAAAGGAUAAAAUAACAAUAAUGAUAUAUUGAUUAGGUCUAAAACAUGAAAUAGUAAGUAUAAAUUAAAUUAAAAUAAUAACUAUUAAUUUUUUUUUUGAAGAAAUAAUAACUAUUAUUACAUAAUGGCAUCCAAUAGUACUGGUUUAUAAUAUUAACAAAUAAUAUAUUAAUGCAAUAACUAAUACUAGUAAAAAUUAAAUAAGUAUUAAAAUUUAUCUAUGUAGUUUGAUUUAGGUUUAGAAAAAAAUGAAAUUUGAAUCUUCGUGGUUUUCACAAAAUGGCAUCCAAUAGUACUGGUUUAUGUGGUUUUUAAUUUUUUAGAUCACUUUGAAAUUUUAAGUUGGAUGGAUUUGAAUUUUAACACUUAAAUAUCCUAAAUGACCCAAUGAAACUUCCCUUCUCAAAUAAAAUUGUUCACUAAUUUUUUUUUUUAAGGUAUAUAUUCUACCUGAAUUUUGGAGGAUACUUAGGGGACGGAUUAGACCAUUGAAUAACUUGAUCAUCAUUUUCAUCACAAUUCAGAGGAACCAAAGUGGGAUCUCUGGCGAAAAAAUCAAACACUUCUAUCCAGUUUCUUACAUUCUUGGUGUGCUCUUUAUCAAAAUAACCAAUUGGUGUGAUCUCAUCUCUGGCAACCUUCAUUUUCUCCUCCAAACUUUGAGCAAAGAACAAUCUAGCAGCUUCAUCAAGUCUUUGCCUAAUACUCAAAGGGACCUCAUGGUUUGUAACUUGAAAGAAGCCCCAUUCCUUGCAUGCACUUCCAAUCUUCUUCACCAAGCUAUCAAUAGCAGAUUGAUCUUGAACUUCAUGGUGGAAUAUUGGUGAGAGGUCAAUUUCGGGAAUUCCUUCGGCUUCAAUGAUGGAUAGUUUUGGUCUGUGUUCUUGCUCUUGAACAAAUGCUAAGUCCAAUUCUCCCAUGGUUGCUCUGCUGCUAGAAGGUGUAAGCUGAUGUAUGUUGAAGGUGGUUUCUUGUGUUUCCCUUAUUCAAUUCAAAAUUGGUCCUUACUAUUACUAGUCCUUCCUUUAUUAUUAAAUUUUGUAAACAGAAGAACAUGUGGCACAUGAUAGGUAUUUUAAAGAUUUGAUUUUAAUUUCUUAUUCAAGAAUGAGCUGGCGGCUUGACUCCAUUUAUUCAUUUAUGACUUAACCGAUCCAAGACCUAAAGUUUUUCAUGUAUUAACCAAGCUAUUGAGCUCUAGAGUUACACCAAGGACAAAUUGCGUAGUAUAAAUUAGAGAUCAAAUAAAUGAGAAUAAACGAGAUAUGGAUCAAGUAAACUUAUCAAUCCUCAAAAUUGUGAUAAUUUGAUGUUGGCGACCCCAAAGUAAACAAUCAUAAAAUCAUGAAUGGUGAUAAACCACAAAACAGACCGUGAAAUAAAAGUAUAAAACAUUAUGGAUAAACAUAAAGAAAUAAAACACUCAAUGAAGAGAUAAAUAGGCAUGAAUUCGUCAAAUAGGGUGGCUCCUAUUAAUAUUAAGCAAGUAAGGCAUGUGAAUAAAUAACAAACGUGAUGUAAACAUGAGGUAAUAGGGCGUGGUCAAAUAAACACUAGGAAAUACUAUAACUUUAAAUAUACUCUCAAUAACAAUGAGUCAUGCAGAUAUUCAAAGGGAAAUUGGUUUGUUGGUGAUUUCCAAAAAUUAUGGAAUCAUUUUAGAACCAAAAGUUGUAACUCUCUGUGAGAAUCUUUCAUAUAUAUUGGAACCUUUGGCAAAAGGCUUAAUGAACUAUAACAUUGAUUCAAGUCAAAUGAGUGUUUUCUCUAAUGUGAAGGGUCAUAUAAUGCACUAUAAAUGCUUGACAUUUGGCCAUUAAUUUGACACUAAGAAACAAGAAUUUUGUUGCAUUAACAUCAUAAUUCUCCCUCAUUCUCUUACUCUAAAUCAUCCAUCAAUUUUCUAAUGCAUGAGUGAAUUGUUGAAACCAUAAAUCUGUAAAAUAUGGUUAGGAGAUAUGUUUGGUGUGGUUGUGCAAUACACCUCAUGAAACUCAUAGUAUCCUGAAGGAGAUUUGCUGGUCAUUCCUUUUGCAUCCAAUAUACAAUUUGGUGGGUGGGCACGACAACCCUAUGCACUUUGAGUUUUACAUGCAUAACCAUUAAACUUUUAAGGUUUCAAGUGCAGCAGUCUCUUCCCAACAAUCAAGAUAUAUAACAUGGUUAGCAUAUGGAACCGAUCAACACAUGAAUAUGGAACCUGAACUUUAGAUUAUCAAAGCCCUUCUUCAGCGAAAAUCAGAGUAGGGUUAAAAAAAAAAAACUAGUUGGAGAUUCCAAAUUUGUUCCAUUUGUCUACUCUUCCAACUUUCUCCUUCAAGCAAAGAAUAAUCUUGAAGCUUCCUCAACUCUCUACCUAAGACAAUAAUUUUGUAAAUAUGUCUGUCAUUAUGGACGAGGAACUAUAAUAUAUCAUUGUUUUUGCAAAUAACUUGAAAGAUUAUCAUAUCUAGAUUGCUAGAUCAUUUAUUGUUGUUUUAGAUAUUUAUAUAACAUUGGGUUAAAUAUGUUUCUAAUAAUUACAUUUUGCGUCCCUUUGAAGAAUAGUCCCUAUAUUUUAUUAAACGUUUUUAAAAUUCUCAUAUUUUAUCUUCGUUAUCAAAGUUAGUCUAUGUUGUUAAUUCUCUAACGGGAUGCUAAUGUGGUGGUUAAUGGGUCCCAAUUAUUUUAUGGUUAGAUAUGUUUUUUGGUCCAUACAUUUUGCGUGACUUUGAAUAGUAGUCCUUAUAUUUUGGGACCCGUUAACUGUCACAUCAGCAUUCCGUUGGAGAAUUAACAGCUUGGACUAAUUUUGAUAACAGAGAUAAAAUGUGAGGAUUUUAAAAAUAUUUAAUGAAAUGUAGGGACUAUUCUUCAAAUUGGUGCAAAAUGUAAGGGCUGAAAACAUAUUUAACUCUAUGAGUAAUGCUGGCAACACUCUCUUCUGAACACAAUCUCUAAUACUCACUCUUUUAUUGGUUUAAACCAUUGUGAGUCCACACUUUGAAAAUUGAACACACACAAAGUGGUGGGAUAUACAUUGAUCUCAUCCAAUAGAAGAGUGAGUGCUAGAGAGAGUUUUGAAAAGUGAAUGUUGCUACCAUUCCUCUUAACCCUAUAAUAUUUACUUAUUUGAGAUGGUUUGGAUGUAUGUUCAUUAUUUUGAAUUUGAACGUUCAGUUAGUUUUUUUUAACACUAAUAUGGUUGAGUUAGUUAAAUACUUUAGUGAAUUAGUGCUUUGUUCAAUCACUUCCUUAUCAUUGAAGAAUCCUUAGUUUUUUUUUUUCGGAAAAUAGGAAUGGAUAUGUUUGCUUGUUCCAGAAAAUUUUCAUUGAAAUUUGGAAGAUAGAUAAAUGAAUCCAAAUGGUUGCAAACAAUGUACUUAGUUCAUUGGUUUCUGAUUCAGCACCAAAAAGUCUUUGGAUGAAAGCUCCAGAGUAUGAUUUUGGACGGCUGGUAUCGCAAAUCGUUAAAUUAUGCAUACGUGUCAAUUACAAUUUGCAUCACUUCAACAUCAUGAACACAGUGGGGUGCAAAUUGUUUGUUCCUUCCAAGACAAGAUAACGCCUUUGUUAUUUCCACAAAUUCCAGUUCAGUUGGGAAAAAUACCAACAAAAAAAAAAAGUCAGUAACAAUUUGACCCGUUUUAAUUUUCAGUAUGUUUACAUCUUAUUUUUCUGUGUGUAUCACAUGUUGCGCGAAAUCUAUUUAACCCUUUAAAAUGUAAAAAGUAGAUUAUUUAUUUAUUUAACAAGAAAAAUAUAUUUAAAAAGUGUUUCGAUAUAGAGUAUAAAUCUUGAUUUGCCUCACUUCAACAUCAUGAACAGAGUGGAGUGGAAAUUGUUCGUUCCUUCAAAUAUAAAGUCUUGACGGUGGAGAAAGCUAACUAUUUCUUAUUGUAACACUAAAGAAAUACGUAAUAGCUAUGGACAAUAAUCUAAUCAAGUUUUGAGAUGAAAAUGAUUUUUUUUAGGGGGGGGAUAUAGUUGCAUACAUAAUUAUUCCACAUACACACUAGUAAGUUUCAUUUGUAGUCACGCAUAUGAAACACUGUUUGGAUCAAUGUGCUGCAACAUAUUAUUCAAUUUAUUUCCAUACACAAGCUAUGUGAAACUUGAAUUACACUAUCUUUAUUUAAGCUAUCUUAUAAUGAUAAAUUUGAAUGUUCUCCACCUUUUUCUUCUCGAAAUUGCUACUCUUUCUGUUGACAAGAAACUUUCCCCAAUUGUAUGGUCUGUAUUUUGGAGGGUUUUCCUCAUUUGUCAGCUCCUCGAGAGGUUUGACUACAGUGUCGUGUGCAGGGAAGAAAAAGAAGGGGAUUGAAAACCUUUCUUUCUCAGAGUUAACCAUCACUCUGUGUUCCACACUUUCAUAAGCAUCAUUGCUCCAAACCUGCACAAACAAAACAACUCCAAUAAUCAAACAAAAAUAUCUAGAUACAUUAUAACUGGAAGAUGUCAGUAUGUUAGAUACUUCGACACAUGUGGUACAUUAUUACCGGUGUCAAUGUCAGUGUUGUGUUUAGUUUGAUGUCCGAAUUUCAUAGGCCCAAAGUACCUGAAUGAUAUCACCAACAUUGAUAAUGUAAGCAUCUGGGGUAGGUUUCACAAGAACCCAUUGUUGGUCUGAUUUACGCUUCACUUCAAGUCCUCCAACCUCAUCUUGGGCAAGAAUAGUUAAGGCACCAGCAUCCUUGUGUCGUCCAACUCCAAGUGCUAGGUGAGGGUAAGGGCAUGGAGGAUAGUGGUUGAAUCUAAUAAAGCUAGUUUGAUACUUGAAGAAUUCUUCAAACCUCUUUGCUUCAAGUCCUAAGCUUAGAGCUAUUAGCUCCAGCAACCUAUAUGCCAGCUUUUCCACCUCUUGAAUAUACUCUUCAAGUAUAGCCCUGCUCAUGUAGACAUCAAUUUUAAACACAACCCAUUAAAUUGAGCAUCAAUCUACCUUUGAAUAUUCUAAAUGACCAAAAGAAAAUGAAAAGUUCGUUUUUCAAAUGAAAUUAUUCACUAUUUAUAUUAAUUAUCAAUCUUACAAUUUGGGUUUUGAAUAACUCAACCAUAAAAUCGGUUGUAAGGUGAGAAAUGUUCACCUAUACACUUGAGUCACGCACGCACCUCCACACGAGACAUGCGUGCCCAAAGUGACCCAAUAAGGAUUUGGAUCCUCUACUGUUGGAUUUGGAUCCUCUACUGUUGCGUGUUGCAAUUGUAGGGACCGUUAGAUUUAGAGAAAGAAAUUAUAUAAUUGUUUUCUCUCUAAAUCUAACGCCGUCGCAAUCACAAAUGUAAAGAUCCAAACAUGACCAAAUAAGUAAUAACAAAGAAUGAUCCAAAGUAUUUAAGGUAGACUCUCACAUUAUCAUAAAAUUUAGAUUGAGUCUAACUCAAAUCCACAAAUUCAACUUAGACGGUGUUGAAUACUCACCACUUAUGAACAAAUUUUGGGUCUAUCACGUCCAAUCUGUUAACUUCUAUCUAAUUCAUACAUAACUGUCAUAUUUAUAGAGAUCAAUUGCAACAAAUUCCUAAGUCCUAACUACUGGACAUAAUUAUUUACUAUCAACCAGUGGCGGUGCCACAUAUAAAUGCACUUGCAUCCCCUGAGCUUUUAAAAUUUGCACAUGAUUGCACUGUUUUAUUAGUGCUUGAACCUCCUGAUAUUUUAAGGAUGAACCUUCUCAUAUUUUAACAUUGCAAUUGAGCCAAACAUUUUGCACCAAUAACCCAAGUUUCUCUCACCCUAUGAAUGACACGAGUCUCACUUUUAUGUUAGCACAACAGUAUUUGCCUCAACUAGAGAUAAUUGACUUCCUUUUUUAUAUAACUCUAUUUUUUAAAAACCCAACUCUCUAUUUGGUUUUUCCUAUUACAUUUGUUUUCUUUUAUUUUCUUAUUAAUAAUUGUAAUUAUAAUAAUUGAAUUCCUUCUAAAGUAAAAAUGAAGUGUUUGAAGAUAGAACACAAAUCCUAAAAGUCUUUUAAGAAGCUUUUACCACUAAAUCAAGUAUGUCGCAGAGUUUAAUUCUUGCAAAUAUAAUAUAUAUUACUAAAUAUUUUAUAUUCUUUCAUAACUUAAUACUCCCACCAUCCUAAAUUUUAACACGAAAAGUUCACUUUCUUUGUCCCAAAUUUAUAAAUAAAAUUGACAAAUGUUUACCCUAUUUAAUCAAGUUGGUUUCAAAUGUCAUCUUUUCCAAAUAAAAUAAAAUAAAUCUUACUUAUUCUCAAUUUUCAUGAACUCAAAUGCAAGGUGUACCCAAAUUACUCUCCCUCACAUUUUUUUUCUGUAACCAAUAACUUAUGUAAUUUUUUUUUUUGAACAAGAAUAACUUAUGUAAAUUAUUUUUACUUCUUUCCAUGAAACAUAUUUCAACACAAAAUGUUAUACACCAAAUUAUUAUGCUUUAGAAUUAUAAAUUUAUAAUUUACACAAAUUCUAACUUUCAUUUGAUAGAUUUUGAAAUUUAUAAUUUAUACAAAAUAUGGAAAAUAUAAAAAAUAAUAAUUAAACAUUUAUGCAAAAAAAAUAGAUAUUUGAUUGGAAAAAAAUGACGAAAAUUAUAAAUUUAGUAGUAUAAAUAAAUGAUAAUUAAAAGAAAAAAUAAUUGCACAAAACUUUCAUAGCUCUGGUAAAGUUGAAAGGUAUGAACCCCCUACUUCAAGAUCCUGGCUACGCCACUGCUAUCAACACAACCCAACAUGAGACUUUCAACGAUCAAUGAAUAAUAUAUUAGUAUGAAUCAACUACCUGAAUUGUGGAGGAUAUUGAGGUGAUUGAUUAGUCCAUUGAAUAACACCAUCAUCAUGUUCAUCAGAACUCCGAGGAACUAAUGUAGGAUCUUGAGAAAGAAAAUCAAACACUUCUUUCCAGUCUCUAACAUUUUUGGUAUGCUCUGUAUCAUAAUAACCAGUAGGAUUGACCUCAUCUCUAGCAACCUUCUUCUUCUCCUCCAAACUCUGAGCAAAGAACAAUCUAGAAGCUUCCUCAAGUCUCUGCCUUAGACUCAAAGGGACUCCAUGGUUUGUGACUUGAAAGAAACCCCACUCCUUGCUUGCACUUCCAAUCUCCUUCACCAAGUUUUCAAUAUCAGAUGGAUUUGGAACUGCAUGGUGAAGAAUUGGAGAGAGGUCAAUUUCGGGAAUUCCUUUGGCUUCGAUGAUGGAGAGUUUUGGUCUGUGUUCUUGCUCUUGAACAAAAGCAGGGUCCACUUCUCCCAUGGUUGUUUUGUUCUGUUGCUAGAGUUUGUGAAUCAAUAAUGUUGAAGAUGGUUAAUUUUUUGUGUCUCUCUUAUUUAAUAGGUUGUUUCAAAAACAUGACAAAAAACAUAGUAAGUACGUACCUACUAUUGUAAAGGUAAAAUUGUAAUUGUAAUAGUGGAAUCAACGUAGACGGCAUAAUACAUUGAAUCUGGACUUAUUUUAGCAUAUACCGUAUGUAACCAUUAAAUGGUGUCCUCAUCCUCAUGUCACUCUUUAAACAAAAAUUCAUUUCAUUCAAUAAAUAAUGUAUAUAGUUUAUAAUAUAGAUCACAUGAAUGUAAAAUGUGAAUUUUUAUUUAUUUUUUUUAUUUAUAAUACUGACUUUAUAGUAAGGUGUAUAUAUUUUGUCCUUGGUUAUUGAAUGUAAGCAAAAUUCAUAAUGUAUUUGGAACAAAUUUUAGUGUAAAUACAUUUUGAUUUUUAGUUAUAUUUAAGAUUGGAAUGAUUUUGUGUGUGUGUGAAUUUACUAGUUUUCCAAAUAUAUCAAUGAAUUUAUUUGGACUUUUUUCUCUGUCUAAGUAAACUCAUUGAAUUGGAACUAUACAUAGCUUUGUGCUUUUUUUAAUCAAUACCCUCUUGUAUAUAAAAAAAAAAUUACGUAAGUAAUUUUUCUGUGUAAUUGGAUUGGAAAUCCGGACCUCUAUUUAAGAGGAAAGAUAUCUCUUAUCAUAUCAUUUAAAUAUUCAAUUUGUAUGUUUGAUUCAUAUCUUUUACAAGAAUUGAUUCUGUAAUAUUUAUGUACUUGUUUUAUGUGGAAUUAUUUCUCUCUUUCUUUUAUCAAAGAGAGUAGGGGGAAUUAUUUCUAAUUUAAUUAACAAUAAUUAAUACACCAUCCGAUCAUUAAAUGAUGUAUGUGGUCUAUUUAAUGAAUGAAUCUAAAAAUCAAAUUUUUACUUAUAUUAGUGACCGGAAGGUGUAUAAAAAGUAACCGGAAGGUGUAUAAAAGAAAGAAAGAAUAUCAACAAAAAAAAAAAGCGAAAGAAACAAAAAGAAGCAAAUAACAUAGUUGUGUAAGAUUUUAACUAAACAUAUGUGUUAAAAUUUGUCCCACGUCGGCGAGUUUAAUAACAACAUAUAGUGGAGUAGUAGUUAUAAAAGAGCAGUGCAUUUGUCCAUCAGUAUGGUCUGAGCUACAGUUGUCUUAGCCUUAAAGUAGUACUGCUAGUUUUUUCCUUAGUAGUUUUAAGACAAACAUGGUCUAUAGUUUAAUUUUAGUUCAAUUUAUAUUUUUGAAUAAAUUAAAAGUUCAAUAUAUAUAUUUUUGACAAAAACUUUUGAAUUUUGUUACUGGAGCAAUGAGUUGAACCUAACAAAUUGAACCAAGUUGUUUGUGAAUUUUAAACGAGCGGAACUGAGUUAAAUAAAAGGUUCGUAUCGAACUCGAAUCAAGUUUCAAGAUGAACCAAUUCUUAUCAAUUUGAAUCGAACUCGGACGAGUUCGACUCGGUUCGACUCAUUUUCAACCCUACUUACACUAUAGAACUAAUGUUGUAAUCUAUAUAUUGCAGUAUUUAAACAUAAAUCGUAGACAGUAAAUCAAAAGCGUGAAAUUAUAAUACAAAUGAACUGCAGUCGCUUUGUAAGUAAAAAAAAAAAAAAAAAAAAAAAAAGGUUAAAUAGGGCACUCAUGAUGUGGUUUAGAUAGAUUUUAAGGUAAAAAACUUCUAAUUCAAAGAUAAAAUUAGACAAGGUUUGAACAACUAAUUAAAAACAACGACCGAACUAAUUUAACUAAAUGCGGUUUAAUUUGUUAACUACGUUGAGCUAAGAGAUAAGAAGUUAGAGUUUUUAGCUAAGUGAAGGGAAAAAAAUAAUCUACCAAAUAAUUUACUAGCAUUUAUCAUUACGAAAAAUGCAAUUUAAUUUGGCUCGAAUUUUGAAUAUUUAAAUUAUAAUUGUAAAAAAUUAUAUUAAUAUUAUAGAAAGUAGAAACACAAUAAAGUACAAGUUAGAUAUAUUUUUUAUCUCUGCAAAAAAAAUCUGCACUAUUGCUUAAAGCCUCAAACCAAUUUUUUUUUAACUCUUAAAUUCUUGAGCAGUUUUUUGUUGUUGUUGCAGACAAGUCCAGAACAUUAUAAAACGUGAUCUUGGGAUGUAGCAGAAAGCCUGAAACAUUUCUACAUUAUGCAGAAUUUGAUACCGAACUAGCUCGCAAAUUUCAUCGUUACAAUGUGGAGCAUUUGGAAGUAGAGGAACAAUAAGAUUUGGAGCAAUGAAUCUAAAACCAGAUACCAAGUAUGUGACCGUGGUUUAGCUUUGCUGACAGGUUGAAAAUGUUGAAAUACUUUAUAAUCAACAAGAAUCUCACCAAACCAAAAUAUAUUAGCAACCAGAAACGUUAAAAACUAAAUUUGAAGGCCUAUAUCAAUUCAAUAUUUGAGAUCAAACAUAAUGAACGGUAAUAACUAAAUUUUCUUUUAUUCUGAGAUAAAAUUCUUACAUAAUGCACACUAGUAAUUUCAAUACUAGCAAAUUUGAUUGCAGCCACUCACUCAUUUCAGAAACACUGAUCAAUCUUUGGUUGUGUAAAUGAGCUAAGUGAUACAUUUAUUAAACUAUCUUUCUCUACUGUAGCUUAUAAUGAUAAAUUUGAAGAUUCUCCUCAUCUUGUUUCUUGAAAUUACUGUGUAAUCUGUGGACAAAAAACUUACCCCAUUUAUAUGGCUUAUAUUUUGGAGAGUUUUGCUUAUUUGUAAGCUCCUCCAAAGGCUUGAUUUCAGCAUCAUGUCCUGGAUUGAAGAAGAAUGGAAUAGAAAACCUCUCUUUCUCCUUGUUCACCAUUACUCUAUGCUCCACACUCUCAUAGGCAUCAUUACUCCAAACCUGCAACAAUAAACCCAAGUCUCUCGUUAUUUUCUCGUGUCCUAUAUAAUAGACCACAUACUUCAUUUAUUGAAUGAAACUGAAAAAUGAACUUUUACUUAUAAUAGUGACCGGAUGGUGUAUCUAGGUAAAUUAGGUCAAAUUAAAGUACCUGUGCCCAAAAAAAGUACCUGGAUAAUAUCACAAACGUUGAUAAUGUAAGCAUCUGAGGUAGGUUUCACAAGAACCCACUCUUGUGAUGCUUUGUGCUUCACUUCAAGACCCCCAACAUCAUCUUGGGCAAGAAUAGUUAAGGCACCAGCAUCCUUGUGUCGCCCAACGCCGAGAGCUAGGUGAGGGUAAGGGCAUGGAGGAUAGUGGUUGAAUCUAAUAAAGCUAGUGUGAUCUUUGAAGAACUCUUCAAACCUCUUUGCUUCAACUCCUAAGCUCAAAGCUAUUAGCUCAAGCAACUUGUAAGCCAACUUUUCCAUCUCUUCAUUAUACUCUUCAACUAUAGCCCUGCUUAUGUUCACAUAAAUUUUAAAAAUAUACUUUUGAAUAAUCUAAAUGGCGAUUGAAGAUGAAAUAUAUAACUACCUGAAGUGUGAAGGGAAUUGUGGGGAUGGAUUAGACCAUUGAAUAAAUUGAUCAUCGUUUUCAUCAGAAUUCAGAGGAACCAAAGUGGGAUCGUUGGCGAGAAAAUCAAGCACUUCUUUCCAGUCCCUAACAUUUUUGGUGUGUUCUGUAUCAUAAUAACCAGUUGGAUUGAUUUCAUCUCUAGCAACCUUCCUCUUCUCCUCCAAACUCUGAGCAAAGAACAAUUUAGCAGCUUCAUCAAGUCUCUGCCUAAGACUCGAAGGGACUCCAUGGUUUGUGACUUGGAAGAAACCCCACUCUUUGCAUGCACUUCCAAUUUCCUUCACUAAGUUUUCAAUAUCAGAUGGAUUUGGAACUUCAUUGUGGAAUAUUGGAGAGAGGUCAAUUACGGGAAUUCCUUUGGCUUCAAUGAUUGAGAGUUUUGGUCUGUGUUCUUGCUCUUGAACAAAAGCUGGGUCUACUUCUCCCAUGAUGAUGUUUUUCUGUUUGCUACUAGUUUGGUUUCUUGCGUUUCUCUUGUUUUUUAAGUGACAAAAAAAUAAAUUUGUAGGAAAAUUUGCAAGAGCAAAACCAGUAUUAUCGAGUUAUAUAUAUACAUUGAAUCUAGACUAGUUUUAGAGCAUAUAUGUGACUUUUCUCUCGUGCUUAUUGUGAAAAAUAUGAACAAAAACUAAUUUUAUUACUUACUUCCUAAAAAAGAAUAUUAACUGAGCAUUGACCAAAUUAAUCAAAUAUUAACAAAUUAAUAAUAUUAGUAACGGUAGUCGGUAGUAAUCUCACUUAAUGCAAUCAUAUCUCAUAUAACGUAGUUAGUUAGCAUUAGUUACAUGUGAUGUCACUAACAUUACUAUAUCAUUUCAUUGAAUAAAUGAUGUUUAUAGUUGAUAAUAUAGACCUAGUAUAUCACUUAUUCAAUUAACCUAAAAAAAUAAAUUUUUGCUUAUAAUUAUGAUUGGAAAUAAUAUUAUUGAAAGACUUUGAAUACAAAAUAUUGAUAACUUGUCUUCUCUAUUUGACCUAUAUUAAAAAUGAAAUACAUAAAUUAUUCAAUAAAUAUGAAAAAUAAUUUUUUUUAUCAAGUGGAUUAAUGGGUAGGAUUCACAUUUAAAGUGAAUAAGUUGGGUGUCAAGGGUUCAAACUCGACACAUGCAUAUUACAGUGUAUUGUUUGUAUCAACUCAAUAAUGCUAAUAAGGACAAUGAAUCUUUAUUUAUAAUUGAGAUCAACAUACUCUCAUAUCAUAUCACUUGGAUGGAACUCCAAAUUACUAGGACUCCUUUCCCCUGAAAAUUAGAGGGUUAACACCAAAAAAACAAAUUUUAUAUUUAUAGACUUUUUUUUUUUCCUUCCAAUGGAUACUUUUUCUUUUUCUGAGGGAAGUGGGUACUUACAAAUAGGGAUGAAGGAAGUAUAUUAAUUUUGAUUUCUAUAAAAGUUUGUAUAUUUUUUAGAGCUUAAUUAGUAUAAGACGUAGUGUAUAAUAAUUUUACAAAUAUUUUGCCAUUUCUGUUAAUUAAUAUGACAACUCAUGUUUUUUGUAUUCAUGAAUUGACCGAUAACUUAUCAUUUGAUGCAUGUGUAAAACAAUAUACUAAGAGCAUAUACUAAUUAAAUUCAUUUUAUAUUGAGUUGUUCCAAACAAAAAACGCACACACAGCUUAUCAGGAUACAUUAGUCCACUAUCAAUUUUUUGUGUAAACUAUUUUUUUACAUUGUUGAACCAUCACACUGCUUAUCUCGCAUUCCAUAUGUCAACCAUGGGUAUUUAAAAUGAAUGUAAGAGGUAUUUAGGUUCCUAACAAAAAUAUGACAAUUUUCUUUUGUCAUAAGUUGUAAAUGUUGAAAUACUUUAUAAACAACAAGAAUCUCACCAAAAGAUACAAGCAACCAGAGAGCUAAACACUAAAUUUAAGACAAACAUCAAAUCAAUUUUUGAGAUCAAACAUAAUGAACGGUAUUAACUUUAUUGUCUUUUAUUAUGAGAUAAAUUGCAUACAUAAUGCACCCAGUAAUUCUAAUACAAAUUUGAUUGUAGCCAGUUGCUCAUUUUAGAAACACCGAUCAAUCUUUGGUUGUUUACAUGAGCUAAGUCAUACAUUUAUUAAAAUAUCUUUCUCUAAGGUAGCUUAUAUAAUGAUAAAUUUGAAGAUUCUCCUCUUCUUGUUUCUUGAAGUUACUGUUUGUUCUAUGGACAUAAAAUUUACCCCAUUUAUAAGGCUUAUAUUUUGAAGGGUUUUGCUCGUUAAUAAGCUCCUCCAAAGGCUUGAUUUCAAUAUCAUAUCCUGGGUUGAAAAAGAAUGGAAUAGAAAAUCUUUCUUUCUCCUUGUUCACCAAUGCUCUGUGCUCCACACUCUCAUUGGCAUCAUUACUCCAAACCUGUAACAAUAAACUCAAGUCUCUCGUUAAAUCAUUUUGGACAUCCCAAUGCACUCUAUGAAGUCUUGUCUUUGUAAACCGACAAACAUUUUUCAGGAUUUAAAUCCGCGAAGUCAAGUGGAGAGCAAUUUUACGAUUUAAAUAUGACCUUCGAAUCAUAAGGCAACGGCCUUAGCGUUGCGCUAUGGCUAUGUAAGUUUUGCGUACCUCUUGAUGUGGUGAUUCAUUCUCAAAUUAUCAUUCAAAAUUCUAUUUUGUUAAUUUCUAUAUUUUUCUUUUAUCAAUAACUUCUAUCAAGAAUAGUAAUACUAAUUAAAGUUAAGCAAUCCAUAAAAGUGACUAAAACAAACACAGUAUAAAAUUAUGUCAAAAGUACCUGAAUAAUACCGCCAAUGUUGAUAAUAUACGGAUCUCGGGUAGGUUUUACAAGAACCCGUUGUUGAUCUGUUUUACGCUUCACUUCAAGACCUUCAACCUCAUUUAGGGUAAGAAUAGUCAAGGCACCAGCAUCCUUGUGUCUUCCAAGGCCAAGAGCUAGGUGAGGGUAAGGGCAUGGAGGAUAGUAGUUGAAUCUUAUAAAGCUAGUUUGAUACUUGAAGAAUUCUUCAAACCUCUUUGCUUCAAGUCCUAAGCUUAAAGCUAUAAGCUCCAAUAACUUACGGGCCAGCUUUUCCAUCUCUUCGAUAUACUCUUCAAUUAUAACUCUACUCAUGUUGACAUCAAUUUUAAAAACAACCCAUUAGUUUAAAAGUUAAUCUACCUUUGAAUACUCAUUGAAUUGAAUUGCAAUCCUAAAUUAUAUUUUGACACAGAAAUUGGACAAAAAAAAUCAACAAUAAUUUAUAUGGUUAAAACAAUUCAAAUAUAUUCUUAAUUAUGUUUGAUGAAUUAAUCGUUCAAAUUAUUAUAAAAAUUUCUUGUCCGAUUUUAUGUCAAAAUAACACAACUCAACGUUUAGGUCAGAUCACACUCAAUCCAACAUGAGACUUCCAAUUGUCAAUGAAAAUUGGUAUAGAUCUCUAACACAUAAACACCUUUAAGAUUAGGUGUGUUCGACAUAUGAACAGGUAUCCUUAAAAAUAAAAAAUUAUUUGUUUCCAUAGACCCUAGAUGCUCCUUAGACACUUCUAUAAGGUUAAAGAUGUGAGAUGCAGUGAUGAUCAAUGACGACGAGUAAAGACAUUAAAUUUGAUUGCUUCAUUUUAAUUUUUUGGUAGAAGAUAGAACAACUUAAAUGCACAUAAAUAUUUUUAAGAGUGUUAUAUUAUAGAUUGAAGAUGAAACAACUACCUGAAGUUUGAAGGGUAUGGAGGUGUUGGAUUACACCAUUGAAUAACUCGAUCAUCAUUUUCAUGAGGAGUGAGAGGAAAGAAAGGGUCAUUGGUGUAAAAAUCAAACACUUCUUUCAUGUCUCUAACAUUCUUGGUGAGUUCAGUGUCAUAAUAACCAGUUGGAAUGAUCUCAUCUCUAGCAACCUUCUUCUUCUCCUCCAAACUCUGAGCAAAGAACAAUCUAGCAGCUUCAUCAAGCCUCUGCCUGAGACUCAAAGGGACUCCAUGGUUUGUGACUUUAAAGAAUCCCCACGCUUUGCAUGCACUUCCAAUCUCCUUGACUAAGCUUUCAAUAGCAGAUGGAUUUGGAACUUCAUUGUGGAAUAUUGGAGAGAGAUCAAUUUCUGGAAUACCUUUGGCUUCUAUGAGGGAGAGUUUUGGUCUGUGUUCUAGCUCUUGAACGAAAGUUGGGUCUACCUCUCCCAUGGUGAUGAUUUUUCUGUUUGUUAGAGUUGAUAAAUCAGUAAUGUUGAAGAUGGUUUCUUGUGUUUUCUCUUAUAUAGAUAGAGUAUGUAGGCAUAGUAGCGUAGCCAUUGUAAGAAAGAAAGUCGUAUGUAUUUUUUUUGUGGUGGUUGAGGUUUGGAUCCUGGACCUUAAUAUAUUAUCAAUUGUCCAUACCAACUGAGCUAACCUCAUGAGAAUAAAGUCGAACGUAUUUAAUAAAGUCACAUAUGUCGCAUGAAAAUUUGUACUUUUUUUUCUUCCUAAAGCAGCAUAAAAGUUUAUCAGAUCAAACGGUAAAGUUACACUUUAUAAAUGUAAUUAACUCCAAAUUUUAUAGACAAAAAGUCUUUUUCAUAAUUAAAAAGUCUUUUAAAAUCUCAUAAAAUCUUAAUCCAAUACAUCCCCUUAAUCUUUGAUUGUAACCAAAAAAAAAAAAUCUUUGAUUGCGUACAAACAUGGGCUAAGUGAUUUUUUUUUAGAGAAAUGUUAAUAUGUGUUUUUAAGCCACAUGUGAAUGAAAUUAAAAGUAUAAUUUGUUUUUAAACGUUUAAAUAUUGAAUGCACAAUUUCUAAGAUAAAUCUUUCACAUUUAAUUCCUUAACAUAUGCACUAAAAACAUGACCAUUAUUUUGUUAAACUGUCUAGCUCUAGGGUAGCUUAUAAUGAUAAAUUUGAAGAUUCUCCACAUCUUGUUUCUUGAUAUUGCUGUCUUUUCUGUGAACAAGAAACUUUCCCCAUUUAUAUGGCCUAUAUUUUGAAGGGUUUUGCUCAUUUAUAAGCUCUUCAAAAGGUUUGACUUCAGCGUCAUAUCCUGGGAAUAAAAAGAAGGGAAUAGAAAACCUUUCCUUCUCUGUGCUCACAAUCGCUCUGUGCUCCACACUCUCAUAGGCAUCAUUGCUCCAAACCUACAACAAUAAACCCAAUUCUCCCGUUAAAUAUUUUAGGACGUCCCCAGAACACUAGGCUCCUAUGCAGCCUUAUCUCUGCUAUUGAAGAAGCUGUUUUCAGGAUUCAAAUUUGUGACCUAUGUAAAUAGAUAAGACAUGAAUUGAGUUUAUAAACGGCGACACUUCUCACUUAAUAUAAAAAUUUAAUAACCUUCACGUCGCAAGGCAACGAACGACCUUAGCGUCAUGCUAUGGCUCACCCUCUAAUUAAGGGGUUAUAUUAAGAAAAUCAUAAAAUUGGAAGACAACAAAGACAACAUUUAUUAGGUCAAAAGUCCAUAAAACUAUAAUGUUUGGUACCUGAAUGACAUCACCAACAUUAAUAAUAUAAGCAUCUGGUGUGGGUUUCACAAGAACCCACUGUUGAUCUGUUUUCCGCUUCACUUCAAGUCCUCCAACCUCAUCUUGGGCAAGAAUAGUUAAGGCACCAGAAUCCUUAUGUGGACCAGCACCAAGAGCAAGGUGAGGGUAAGGGCAUGGAGGAUAAUGGUUAAGUCUAAGAAAGCUAGUUUGAUCUUUGAUGAAGAAUUCUUCAAACCUCUUUGCUUCAACUCCUAAGCUAAGAGCUAUGAGCUCUAGCAACGUAAAGGCUAGCUUUUCCAUCUCUUUAAUAUACUCUUUAAGAAUAACUCUGCAAUGCUCAUAAUCACAUCAUUAUAAACAUAUAUGAAGCACCAACACAUAUACACAAAUCAAACCUAACAGUAAUACUGACACGCAGACACCAAUAGCUAUUUAAAAAACUGGUUGUGAUUGAACGCUACUACAUGUGUAGAUUUUUGUUCGUGUUGGACAACAGACAACCUUCAAUCUGAAGUGUUGGUGCAGGUGCGAGCUACAAUAUCAUUAACUGUGUGCUAGUAUAAUAACUGAAAUUAUUUAGAGUUUGAUAUCAAAGAAUAAUAUGUUUUUGUCCUUUUGAAAGGACUAAAAAUGGUGAGUUGACUAAAAAUGGAUACAUUUUUUUAAGCUACUAAACUCAACUGCAUAAUUUUGCAUGGAAUACAAACAUAUUUAACAUGAUUAGUAUGGUACAAAGAUGAAUUACUUGAAGUGUGGAGGGUAUUGAGGGGAUGGAUUAGUCCAGUAAGUGACUUGAUCAUCGUGUUCAUCAGAAUUCAGAGGAACCAAAGUAGGGUCAUUAGAGAGAAAAUCAAACACUUCUUUCCAGUCUCUUACAUUCUUGGUGUGCUCUGUAUCAUGAUAACCAGGCAAACCGGUAUCAUCUGUGGUAAUCUUCUUCUUAUCCUCCAGGCUCUGUGCGAAGAACAUCUUAGAAGCUUCUUCCAUUUUGAGCCUUAGAGUGGGAGGGACACCAUGAUUUGUAACUUGGAAGAAACCCCAUUCCUUGCAAGCACUUGAUAUCUCUUUGACUAAGGCUUGUAUGGCAGAGGAGUCUUGAACUGUGUUGUGGAUUAUUGGGGAGAGGUUGAUUACGGGAAUGCCUUCAGCUUGGGUGAUGGAGAGUUUUGGUCUGUUUUCUGGGUUUUGAAUGAAAGCUUGAUCCACCUCUUCCAUGUUUCCUGCUACCACUAAACUAAUAAUUCAAACAUUGAUUACUAUGCUGAGUGCUGAUGUGUGACCAUAUAUGUGCACCUUAUAUUUUAUCUUAUCAUUAUGGAAUUGUAUAUAAACUAUGUAUCUAUCGGUCAACAUGCUUGUAUAGCAUAUGUAUUAUAUUAUACUGUAUUCCAUCUAAGAAUAUUUAAUAACUAGAUGCAGGCCAAGCAUUGCACGGGUGUAGUAUAAUUAACCAAAACUUAAAUCUUUUAUAUACUUAUAAAAAUUCAACAGAAUAAAGAAUAGCCAUGGAAUUUUUGUCUGUAUUGAAUAGUACCCUCUAGCGUUAUUGUUUUAAAGAACCCAAUACAAAGUAUUAAUAUAAAAACAUUGCUUUGUUGUUUUGAUUAUCUAUAUAUACAUAAACAAAUGAACUUUGCUUUAUAAGCAGCCAUUCUCUGAAAAAACAUGCCUUAGACAAAUCCCUGCUUGAAAUUGUACGAGUCUUUCACUAAGGUUUGACUCUUAUCAUUGGAAACUCCAAGAUCUGUCAUGUAUCAUCUCAUGAGCUUCUCUCCUGCGUAAAAUGAAUUAAUUAAAGGGCUGCAUAGUUUUAGGAACCAAAACAUAGUUUUAAGGUUCAUCUUUUUUUAACUAAUAUUGUUGCUAGUAAAACACCAGCAACUAUUUUUCUCUCGGGACAUCUAAAACCUAUGUAUUCAAAGAACUGAAGCACAUUUUCAUGUGGACCUUGGAAUACAAUUUGAGCUUCUAAAGUAGGAUAAUGUCAUCAUCAAAUUUCUUUGUUGUUGGUUGUACAAGAGAAAUCCCCAUAACUAUAUACAUAAUAUAAACCGUUUGUCUCAUGAACCUACUAUUUGAAAAGUGGUAUAAUUGUUCAAUCAUGUUGAUAUUUUGUCCAUAAAUGGUGCUUUUUCUAGUACCACCAAUUUUUCAACUGUGAUUUUUCAUAUACAAUUCACAAACAAAAGUUCUACAUCGAUUAUUUGGUUUGAUCCUCUAGAAUUGAAAAAAAUUGAAGUCCAACUGUCACUUACCACAAACAAUAUUUUAAUUGCACUCUCAGUCUAGAAAAUUGACACAAACACUACUUUGUAUUUUAUAGACCUGGUAUUCUAAUUCUAUGAUUCCCACUUCUUGGUAAUGUAAGAUGACGAGUGUCUCUUCUUAUAAACUCUUUUCAGUGUGAAAUUUGGGUUCUUCCCAAUAACUACAAUUUCAGUAUGAGUGUAUAAAUCAUUUUUUAACUGAAACUAAUUUUGCAAAACCUAACCCAUUCAAUAAGUUUGAAAAACUCACCUUUUAGGAAACUGUGUGCUUCACUGAAAAUAUUUAAGUGGCCACAUCUGAAAGAAAGAUAAGAUCAUAAAAAGCAGGUUGCAUUAGAAACACUAUCUGUCAUUGCUGCUAUAGAGAUAAUUGAACGGUACGAUAGAGUUAAUGGUUGCGGUUAUAUGCUCUACAGUUUUGUAAAUAACAUCAGAAUAUGGAUGUGUUGUAUCUUCUACAGAGAACAGAUGAACAUUGUUGUUCAACUCUAUCCAGCUGAACCCUUGAUCUUUUCUCAAUUCCAAACUCUGUAACCUCUUCCUAAUUUUUGUUUUCUUCCCCCAUCUACCCCGUCUGGCAUACAUAUUAGACAGAGUAACUAAAGCAGAUACUGAAUUUGGAUCCAAACUGAACAACUUCACAGCAGCUCUCUCUCCCAAUUCCACGUUGUUCCAGAAACACGAGGCAUUAAGCAAAGCUCCCCAAAUUACACCAUCUGCUUUGAUAGGCAUUUGUAUGAUAAACUCUUCUGCUUCUUUCACACGGCCUGACCGACCAAGAAGAUCCACCACGCAUGUGUAAUGCUCUAUUGUUGGGGUUAUUCUGUAGUUUAUCUGCAUUGAGUGAAAAAAUUUCAAACCUUCGUCAACUAGGCCAGCAUGGCUACAGGCGGAAAGAACAGCUACAAAAGUAGCAGCAUUUGGAACAACACCUUGAUCUAACAUUGAGCGGAAGCGUGAAAUCGCCUCAGAUCCGCAUCCAUGGUAUGCAUAACCAUUUAUAAGAGCUGUCCAUGCUGCUACAUUGGGUGAAAAGAUGCUGGUGAAUGACCUUUGAGCAUCGGCCAAGUGACCACAUUUGGAAUAGAAAUCCACAAGAGCAGUUCCAACGUAAACAUUUUCCUGGUAUGGCGUUUUGGCUAAGUGUGCAUGAAGCAACUGUCCUUGUUGAAAAGAACAGAGGUAUGCACAAGCACGAAAUAGAACAGAGAAUGUUGAUCUGCUAUACUCAACUAAAAAUCUACGCAUGGUCACGUAUAAUUUCAAUGCCUCGCUGUGCUCACCAUUAUGAAUGUAACCCGACAUCAUUGAAUUCCACGUUACACAAUUUCUUUCACCCUUAGUUUUGUCAAAAAGCUUCACAGCUUCGUCAAGUUCACCGUUCUUGGAAUACACAGUAAUCAUAGUAUUUAAGGAGGUUAAAUGUUUGAGACUCAUUUUCUCAAACAAUUUUUUCGAUUUUUUAAACUGACCACUCAUCGCAUAACCUUUAAUCAUCAAAUUAUUAGAGAUGAGAGUUUUAUCUCUCAAUCCAUAAAAGAUCAUCCCCGCUUCUUUGACCCUCCCCAUUGAAACAAGGCCACCAAUCAGCGAGUCAGCAACGUUCGAACAAGCUUCCCCUACCAUGCUUUCAUAAACUCUCUUUGCGUCGUCUACAGCAUCAGAAACACAAUAAAACUCAGCAAGUGCACUACUAACUGAGUUAUCAAAAUCAAAACCAUCCUUAAUGCAAAGUCCAUGAACAACCUUCCCAACAUACAGAAUCCUAAGUCUAGCACAAACCCUCAAAACACAAUCCAAAGUGAACUCAUUAGGCAACACCUCUGAACUCCUCCUCAUACAUCCAAACAAAUCCAAAGCCCUCUCACACCCAUCUUCCCUCUUCGCAUAUCCAGAUAUCAACGUAGUCCAAGCCACAACAUCCCUAACAGGCAUCUUUUCAAAUAUUUCCAUAGCAUCACCUAUCAUAUCACGCUGCACAUACCCCGCAAGCAUCAAACUCCACAACACGUGAUUCUCAUCACGAAGCUCCUCAAAAACCAUCUCAGCUUCUCUAAUUCCACAACAUUGCACAUAGUAAUGCAACAAAGCACUCCCCACAGGUCCAAACCUCUGAUAUCCAGAUUUGAAAAGGAGUGAAUGAAUCUGCUUUCCAAGAAACAAAGACCCACCACGUGUACACGCGCUCAAACAUGCAGAAAAAGAAACCUCAUUGAACUUAACACAAGAGCUAUGCAUGAAGGAAACAAGAGUCAAAGCUUCAGUGUACUUCCCCCAUUGGGAGUAGCCAGAAAUCAUAGUGUUCCAUGAGGAAACUGUUCUGAGUGGCAUUUCAUCGAACAUGUGGCGGGCUUCUACAAGUUUCCCGGUUUUGGCAUGGUGAGCGAUGGAGAUGUUGGUGGAGAUCACGUGAGGGGGAUAGGGUUGUGAAGCUUCCAAAAGGGUCGUGAAAAAUUGAAGCUUUUGUUUCCGUUUCCAAGUGGUGCUUACUGGGGAGAAUUUGAGAAACAGAGUCAUUGUGAGGGAGAAACAGAAAAGAACAUGGUGGUUUGCGAGAGUGAGUCGUUACCUCAUGAGCGCAAAUUGUGUACUAUAUUAUCACUCUUUAAAAGUAAUUUUAUGGCCUUAAAAGAAAAUUUAAAUGUCAUGUAGUUGGAAAAUAAAUUCUAAAAUUAUCGUUAAAUUAUUAUGAAAAAUAGAUAGUAGUUUUUUAUUAGGGGAUGAAAUAGAGAUAGUUGAUAUCUUCCAUAAGUUUUUUUUUUUUUGGUAAAGAUAUCUUCCAUAAGUUAGUGUUGAUAAAAUUAAAAGGUACAUCUAUAUACAAUAUACUUUUCUUUUUUAUUCUUCUUCUUAAAAAAAAAAAAAAAAAGUUUUUAACUGAAUUUCUAUUAGUUUGACAAAUCUUUUUCAUAGUUGCAAUAAGUAAAUAAUGAUUUUUUAUUUGACCUCGUUGAUAUCAAAGCUUCCGGAACAACUUCUUAUAUCUUGAUUUGUUUACCGUGAAUAGAGUACAACCAUAAUUCAUUUCUCAAAUUUCCGAAUUAGGGAGAAAGAACACACAUUAUAUAGCCACCUUAGUAAAGUUAUAGACAACCAUAUUUACCGCUCUCUUAGAAAACUCGACCUAAGAAUUAUUACAAAAAUAUAAAACUUCAUGACAUUAAGUCAGAAUUUAAAAAUUGCAAAAAAGAAAAUCACCUGUACAUUACUUCCUGAAAUUACAUGAGAUAGGGAUUUUAUGAAAAGCAAUAACCAAAGUGAAAGAAAGAAAGAAAAAAAACUACAAUUAUACAGCUAUUCCAUAAUUCAUUCAUAUCCAUAACUAGCCUACGACUAACACAUUCACAUCAUUAAUCCCUCCCUAUAAACUGAAACAAAAUCAUCAAUCUGUUUCAUGAUCUGGUGCUUCAGAAUACCAUGCAGGUGACUUUCCCAUGGAUCUAAGAAGUUUAGUAUAUGAUGAAUCAGGCAUUUUUGCUUGCUCCUCUUCCAUCAUUUCAUCAGCAGAUUUUGGUAAUCCAUCUGGUCUAGGACAAGGAUUUUGUUCUUCUUCUGAAUAUAUUUCAUUGGUUAAAUUCAAAUCAUUCUUUUUCAGUUUACGCAUUAGUGCAAUUCCAUGUAAACAUCCUAUUAAGGAUUUCACACCACCAAUCUCAAUAAUCAGCCUCUCUAUCUCUGCUCUAGGUGACUCCUUCUGUAAAAGAUUGUGAAGAGGAAUGGAAUUAUUAAUGAAAGUUCGUUCAUGUGUACAAUAGGACAAUAAUGUAUUCUAAUAAAACAUGUCACCCGUUGAAAUUGAGCCAAAAAACAAACAAAUGAAAAUCAAUUUACUUUCUAAAAUUAUAUAGCCUGACAUUUGGUCUCUAAAUCUAACAAAAUUUUAUGAUCACUCUUGAAAGUAAAAAUUCUCAAUCGCAUUUUUCUUGCAACACCUAUUUUUUCCUGAAAAACAUUGGAUCAUACUACUCUAAAUUAAGCAAGUCACUUUAAAGAAUAAAGUGAAUAAUGUCCGAAGAUCAACACAUCAAUGGUUGAUAUUAUAUGCACAUGAAUAACAAAUUAUCUUGAAACAAAAAAAAAAAAAAAAAAACAAAAUAAUGAUAGUUAAAAUAUUGACAAUUAAUUUUCUCUGUUAAAAGGUAAAUUAAUAUCAAUCAAUGAUAAGUAGUAAAUCAAUAAGUUAAUACUAUAUUUACAUAUACAUAAUAAAAUUAUUAGUAAAAAAUGCCUGAUUCAUCGUAUAACCUUAAUUUACUCACUUUAGAAUAACAAAAUCCAUGUUCUAUAGUCACAUAUAAUCAAAAUAGGAAAAAAUGUCAUGGAUCUACAUACAAAUCAUUCUUUGAGAAUUUAAAAAUAGAAACAUUUGGUCAAGAAAGGCAAAAACACGCAGAAACAGAAAAAAUCAGGGAAAACGCAAAAUCUUGAAUGAGUUAUAUCUGAAACAAAGAAGAAGAAGAAGAAGAAGAAAGAGAUUACAUACUUGGAGAUCUUUGAGCUCAAAAUAAGCCUGCCAGCAACUAUAUGAUUCAUCACCUUCAAGUAUCGAACAAUAAUCUGGCAAAUAAAUAUUAAGAAUCAAAAACAUAAUUUCCAACAACAAACUAAAAUAGAACAUAAAAAACGGAACGCACCCAAGAGAUCUUUCUCAGAUUUUUCGAUCAAAGGAAGGUCUUUAGCGAGUCUAUCUAAUUUGGUUCGGCUAAAAGGUUGAAGCUUAGGGAUGAAUGAUUGGUUUCUAGAAGAAGAAGAAGAACAAAUAAGUUUGGUUGAAGAGGUUGGGUUGUGAUGAAGAAGAAACAGAGAAGGACGAAGUAGUGUUGUUGUUGUUGAAUUCAUGGUAUCGUUUUGUAAAUUUCAAAGACACAAAGAGUGGUUUGGUUAAUAUAAUAGUUCUAUUUGGAUAAGGAUGAUAUUUUCCUAGAUAUUUUAUUCUUGACAAACAAGUUAUUAAAAUAUCUUUCAAAAAUAAAAUUAUUAAAAUAUGUUUUUUUCUUCUUGAAAGAAGUUAUUAAAAUAUGUUCAUUAUCCGUUCUUUUUUAAAGCAGUCUGGUCAUGGAUCAUGGUCCCCCUGGACCCUGCAGAUGGGAUGUGUUAUCUCCGAUUGCUUGGUUAAAAUCGGACUAAGAAAAAUAUUUCUAGCCUUUAUGUAAUUAAAAAGAAAAAUACAAAUAAAAUAAAUUAAAAAAAGUAAAACACAAGGGAAAUUUGCGUUUUGUAAUUUAAUGAUAUCAUAAAUGCAAUAACUAAAACUUAAGGUUGAUCCGGUUUACAACAAGUUAAUUUGUGUUUUGUAAUAAUUUGAGUUCAGCCUUUGUAAAUGUUCUAGAUAUAUUACCAUGAUGAACCUUAAAACUCAACUCAUCUAAACUUUUGUAUUGAUAACAAAAUGAUAUUUGUGUCUCUUAAAAUUCAUUUGAAUGAUUGUCAAUAUUACAAUCAAGUUAUUAAAAUUCUCUUAAUAUAUUCAUGAAAACUACUUCCUUAAAAAAAAUCAUGAAAAUUACCCAAAGCAUAAGGUGUGUCAAGGAUAUAAAAAACAAUUACAAAACACACAAAAAAAAUACCAUAGGGACAAAUAAAAGGUGAAAUGGUUCUUAUAAAUAGAGAUGAAUGGAGUAAAACAACUACACUAAAAGAAAGUUAAAGGAUAUUAGAUACAAUAUGUAAAAUAUAAAUUUUCUCUUUUUUAUUAUAUGAGUGAAAUUCUAACAAAUUAUCUUAGACUAUUGUAUAAGAAAACCAAACAAUCUAGUAACUUUUAAUUAGGGUCCGUUUGGUUCGAGAGUUUUGGAGGGGAGUGGAGGGGAGAUUUUUAAUUUGAAGUGUUUGGUUCAAUUUUUAGAAGGGAAGGGAAGGGGAGGGGAGGGGAGCAAAUCUCUUUAAAAUUUUAUUGCAUUGCCAUAAUUAUCCUUAAAUUAAUUUCAAAUCUCAAUAUUAACCUUGUAACAACUUUUAUUAUUAUUAGAUUAUAUUAUUUUUGUAACAAUCUUAUUAUUAUUAUUAGGUUAUCUUAUUCUUGUAACAAUUAUUAUUAUUAUUUUGUUAUAUUUUCCUUGUAACAAUUUUUAUUAUUAUAUAAUCUACCACUCUUAUUUGUUAGAUGUACAAACCGCUCUUACUAUUUAAUUAAGUUUCUGAAAUCGUAAAAACAAACAGUUUCUUUUAUUUAAUUAAGUUUAAGGGUAAAACGGUAAAAUAUUGUUAAAAUCCCUCACCUCCCCUUGUGAACCGAACCAAACACACUUUUAAUUAAAAAUAUCUCCCCUCCGUAAAAAUCCCUCCCCUCCCCUCCUAAUUCUCGAACCAAACGGACCCUUAAAGGAAAAUGCUAACCGAUGCCCCGGGGCACUGGUUAAGGAUAAUAAAAAGGAAAAUUAUAUGUUAAUUAUUGCAUUGAAAAUUGUUUAAUUAAUCCAUAAAUAAGUCAACAAAACUUUCUUUUAUGGUAAGAAUUUUCUUUUUUUUGUAUGCUUAACCCGUGCCCGGGAGCACCGGUUAGCAUGACCCUUAAUUAAAUAGUAGUAUAAUUAAAUUGUAUUUUUAAGAGCACCGGUUACCAAAAAAUAUGUCUACUGAGGUUUGAUUGGUGCUUGCUCUUUUUGGUAAAGUGGGACCAUGUUGGAGGGCACAUUUGUUGUGGUUAGGGACUUUGGGGCCAUCAUGCAAGUGGGAGAAUGGUCUCAUCAUCUAAUCAAAACGUUGAAGACUAACAUUGGGUGGAUGGAUGGUGUGGGGAUUGGUUGAAAAUUGUUGUUGACAUAUUAGAUAACGUUGAGGCACAUAAGUAAAAAUACGUUUUUGCCUCCUCGGCAGUUAGUUAAAUGCCGAGUAAUUCAAAAAUCGGCUGCAGUUAACUGCCGAGGAAAACCUCGGUAGUAAACUGCCGAAAAUUUGUUAUAAGUACAGAACAGAUAUGGGAGUUUCUAAAACUCCAUUGUUAUGUUUUUUAUUCUCCUAGAUGCGAUUUUGAGCAAUUUGAAGUCAUUCCAAGCCAAUUUCAAUCACAAAACCAAGUAAGUUUUUUUGAAUCCUAUUGCAUUGUUGUUUUGUGGUCGAAUUGUUUUUUUUUUUUGUUAAAUUUCAAUUAUAUAGGUUUUAUUGAUUUUAUGAUAUGUUAGGAUAGUUUAUGUUACAAUGGUUAGAAUUGUUAGAGAACUUUUAUUGAAUUGUUAGGUUUAGGUUUUGAUGAAUCGUUGUAGAAUUGUUAGAAUUGUUUAGGUUUAGGUGUAGGUUUUGAUGAUAGUUUAGGUUUGGGUUUAGUUUUUGAUUUUACGAUUUUAUGGCAUUGUUGUUUAGUUUAGGUUUUGAUAGCCAUUUUUUUUUAAUGUAGAAAUAUCUCAGAAUCAGAAUCAAGGUAACGUUCAGGGUGAUGAGAAGAACAAAGAAAAAUUGCCUAUGACAUGACACGAAAUUGUUUGUGAUGGUUCCGAAAAAAGAAGGGUUCGAAGGUGCCGGUGUACAAUCAGUCGAGGUUGAGGAGGAGCGGGAGGACAUGCUAUUUUGGUCCUCAACCAAAUCAAGGUGCCCCAGGGACUGUAGCGGGCAACCCGGUUGACUUGUGUGACGAGGAAGAAUGAAUGUAAUGGCUUUUAAUGCCUAAUUGUUUUGGAUUUUUUUAUGUUUUAUUUUUGUGUCGCGCACAUUUUGUUUGACAUUAUGAUACUUAGAAUAAAAUCGCAUUUGAAAUAAUUUCGAUUAAAGUCGUGUUUUGAAUAAUUGAGUAUUCGAAUAAAAACUAAUUAAAUGUAACUUGAAUUCAACUGAUUAAAAUUGUGUAAUGAAUAAAUAAAUUCGAAAAGUGAAUAAAUAAGAUAAUUAUUGUUCCAUUCAAAACAAAAUGUAUUAUGCAUAUUCAACUAUAUAUGUUAUCACAUUAUAUUGCAUUACAUUACAUUCCGAAAUGUACCUUCCAACUGCAACAAUUAUCUUACCCUUGAAUGGGGUAAAUUCAAACUUGCUAAACAGCAUGACUCCAGCAUGCGAUGAACAUCUUGAAUGAUGGUAUUCAAGUGUCAAAAGAAUGCGCAUUCUUUUGACACUUGAAUACCAUCAUUCAAGAUGCUCAUCGCAUGUUGGAUUCCUGUCGUUUAACAAGUUUGAAUUACCCCAUUCAAAGGAAGAUCAAUUGUUGCAGUUGGACGUUUGUAUCUUCCAACAACAACAAUUGUCUUACCUUUGAAUGAGGUAAAUUCAAACUUGCCAAGCAGCAGGACUCCAAUAUACAACCGACAUUCCCAAUGUUCCAUUCAAAAGAUUAAAUUGUUGUUAGGCUGAGAUUAAAUGAUGGUAUUCAAAUGUCAAAAGAAUGAGGUCCGUUCCUUGACACUUCAAUACCUUCAUUUAAACCAGCCUAACAAGAAUUUAAUCUUUUGACGGGAACAAUGGGAAUGUCGGUCGAAUAUUGGAGACAUGCCGUUUGGCAAGUUUGAAUUACCCCAUUCAAAGGAAGACAACUGUUGUAGCUGGAAGGUGCAUUCAUUCCGUACAUAAUGACGAUCUUCUGGCAGAAUCAAACUUUUGAUGAUAUCUUCAGUUGAUCUCACCAACGUCAUCCGCAUAUUGAUCCACUGGAACAUGUUGUGCUCCCAAAACAUGAUCGUCACGUUUUCGUCGUUCGUUAAUUCCACCCAAGUGAAUGAUACUCUCCCCUCGUCGAGCGUUGGACGUUUAUACCGAACGUGUUCCACCCUCCUUGUGUCUCUGGGGUUGACUCCUUGGUUGAAUCUCCAGUCAGUUCAUCCUUGAGACCUCUUAACGUUACACCAAGGCACCGAACCUUCAACCUCUGAGGUUCUCCGCCGUUGAAUUGUGCAUUAACGUCGAUCCACCCGACCAUUGUUUCAAAUCUACACAAUAAGAAAUUAAAAACAAUCAAUGAAAAACUCAUUCAAUCAUUUCAUCAAACACUUGAUGUGCAAAUUAUACAUAGUCUCUAAAAAUCAUAAAAAUAACCCUAAAAUUAUAAAUCAUAUAUUUUUACUAAAAUAAUAAAAUUAAUCAUAUACUAUAACAAAAAUCAUUCAACUUAUGUUGAACAUAACUUUUUAUUGUUAUGACGUAAAAUAUAACAAAAUUAUUCAACUUAUAUUUACUCUCAAAAUAAAUCAUAUAAACUAAAAAAAUAAAUAUAAAACACCAAAUUAAAAUAUAACCCUAAAAUUGUAAACUAUAACAUAAUCAUCAUGCAAUAUUUUAACUAAAUUAAUCAACUAACAUCUAAUCUAAAAAUGAUUUAUAACAUGUAAAUCUAAUUAAAAACUAAAAUAAAAAAAUAAAUAUAAAACACCAAAAUAAUAAAUAACCGUAAAAUUUUAAAUUAUAACAUAAACAUCAUGCAAAUAUUUUAACAACAUUAAUCAACUAACAUCUACUCUAAAAAUUAAUUAUAACAUGUAAAUCUACUCAAAAACUAAAAAAUAAUAAAUCUACUCAAAAACUAACAAAUAAAAAUAUUUAUAACAACUAAAAUGUAAGUUAAUAGCAUUAUAAUUACUUACUUGUGAUUUUGUUGAAUAAAUUUUGUUGGGUUUUUUAGAGAGAUUUGUGAGAGAGAUUUGGUAAAAAAAAUUGGAAGAUGAGAUGAAUAAUAGAUGAGAGAGCUUCUGCCAGAUUUGUAGCAGAAGAUCCUCUGCAGUUAACUGCAGCCGGUUUUUUAAUUCCUCGGCAGUUAACUGCCGAUGGGACAAAAAUGUAUUUUACCCGUGUUUCUCAGCCUUAUGAAAUGUGUCAACAACAAUUUUCGGAUUGGUUUGGCUUUCACCAUAUGCAAACAAACAAACAAACAAAUAGACACAUAUGACGGUGGUUUGACGGAAGAAACUGUGUGCACAACGCAACCAAAUGCGACCAAUCUAAGGAGUGUUGUUAUUCUUGUGUGUCUGAGUCUUAUUGUCUUUGGGAUAUUUUAUCUGUCAUUUACUUGACGAGGGUCUGGUUUAACUUUUACUAUGGUUUAGACUUCCAUGCCAAAAACAAUUCUAACCCUAUAAAUUAGGUGGGGUUUAGCAUGGGAAAAGAAACUUGUUUCCCACCAUGGGAAAGUAUUUUUCAACCAUUUGAUUAAAGAGGAGUAUAGAUUCUAUUGUGAUCUCUCCACAUUGUAUUUUAUUUUAACAUUGUCUUCAACCUUUACUAAAAAAAAAUUAAAAAACAUUUAAAACAUUGUUUUCAAUCUCUAUGAGUACCACCAUGAAACCAUCGAUUCCUCAAAAUAAAAAAGAACAACACACAUGUUGCUUGUCAUCUCUACUUGUUCCAUACUUGAAUUGCUGCAACUCACACAAACAACAACACACGUUGGGAAUUUGGUUUUUUUUUUUUUUUUUUUUUUCAUUUUCUUCUACAUGAAUACAUAUGUUUUUUCUGAAAAUAAUGAAGAGGAAUAUCAAAGACAAAAGGAACAUAAGGGCUGGGAGUAUAUUGUGAUAACAAAAUUGUCCACUUAACCCCACCUUCCGAUUUUCCACCAUGACUAAAUGUAAAAGCCUUUCAAUUUGUUUUUCUUUUUUUGUUGUUUGUUGGUUUUGGAUCUAUGAACAUGAUUUUUUGUUUUGUUUUGGAUUUAUGAGCAAAAUCUACAAUGAACAAAAAUAUGGAUUAAUUAAAAAUAAACGAUGUCAGUUAAUGGAAAAUGGAAUAAGAAAGAUCCACAUUGGCCUCAACGGGAAAUGGGGAAGGACAAUGGUGGGUUUGAUGCUGUUUUGCUUGUGGUGGGUGAGUGGGGGUGGAAGAGAGAGAAUGAUGGUGAGAGAUAGUGUGAAAAAAAUCUAGUGUUGAUAGUCUACCAUUAGAUUAUGUUCUUCAAUUGAUCUAAUGGUCAAAAAAUACUUUUCCAUGGUGGAAAACAAGUUCCCUUUCCCAUGCUAAACCCCACCUAUAAAUUAUGUUUGACAUUUUUUUAGAAAUCAGAAUCAAUUAUACUUGAAGCUGUUAUUUCUACUUUUUGAUUCUAGAUUUCAUUCUAUCAUGCAAAUUUAUAAUUCAACUUACUUUUACAAAUCAAUUUAUUGACAACUCACUUUUAGUUAGAAUCAAUUUUACAUAAUUAAUUCACUCAAAAACAAUUUUUAUCAAAGAAAAAUCAUACAUUAAAUUUUAGGCUUAAACACACUUUUUACCCCCUAAGUUUACAAAAGUUGCAAUUUUAGCCCCAUUUUAAAAAAAUGGGAAAAGUGACCCCAUGUUUACCCAACCUCAAUUUUGACUUAGUCAAGCCUAUGUGUCACGCCACAUCAGUUAAAAAAUCGCCAGCUAUCUACUUUUUUAAUUUAAAAUAAAUGUAAAUGACACAAUUGUAUUUGUAAAAUUAAAAUAAAAAAAAAUAAAAAAAAGAAUUAAGGAGAGGCGCUCAGUCUUCUUCUCUUCUUCCUCUGUAACAUCAAAUUUAGGUAAGAAUAACCAAACCCAGAAUUUAAAACAAACACAAACCCAAUCAAAAUUUAUAACACUGUUCAUUCAUAAAUUCAUCAAAAAAUUCAAACACAAAAUAUUUACAAUUCAAUCUCCUUUUCUUCAAAACCUAAUAACAAUAUAAUCAUAAAAGAAAAAAUAAAUUAAAGGGGUUUCGAUUUUCAUACAUUCUAGUGGCUUUGAGAUCGAACUUAAAACACUUCUUCUCUUCAAACAGAACUAAACAAAAUCACUGGUGGCUCUGAGAUGAACGACCAUUGUCACAGAAAAUGAUUCAUAUCUGUUUUCUUGAGCAUCAUGAUUUUUCAAAAUUUCCAGAAUUUCAAAAUUUGUUUUGAUCUUUGUUUUUGGAUUUAUUUGUAUGUUCUGUGUGAUGAUGAUUGAUAAGAUUAAGAUGGAAUUUGGAGUUUUUUACUAUGGAAUAUAGAACAAUUGAGAUGUGAGCAAGAAGAUAAAAAGCUCACGAUGAUGCAGAAAACGUGACAAUCUCAAAUCCUUCGAUGCAAAGGCUCAUGAAACACGUUCUUCUUGAAAAGUGAUUCUGAAACUCGAUUAUGCAUCCUAAAAUGAGAGAAAUCACUCAACUCUGCAUCCUGAAACAGCGACGAAAGAAAUGAGUGUUGUUGUUGUUAGUGAGAAAGAAAAAAAGGCUUGUUGUUGAUAUUGUUUGAGAGAUAAAGUAAAGAAAAGGGGAAACUGUUGAAGAUGGGGAUUAGUUUUGAUUUUUGGUUUUUAAUUGAAUGAUUUUAUGAAAAUAAAGAGGUUCAAGAUGAAGAUGUUUUGCCCCCUUUUUUCUAGAAUUUUAAUUCACGUUCUUUUUUUUUUCUUUUUGAUUUAUUUAAUUUCAUUUUUAUAUAUUUGGCUUUUUUAUUUAAUUUUUUAAUUGAAAAAAAACACAUGUGGCGUGCCAUGUAGACUUGACCAAGUCAAAAUUGACCUUUUGUAAAAGGGGCUAGACAUGGGGUCACUUUUGCCAUUUUUUUUAAAAGAGGGCCAAAAUUGCAAACUUAGGGAGUAAAAAGUGUGUUUAAGCUUAAAUUUUAUUUAUUGUGUUCGGCCAUGGGUUCUUUCUAUUUUCUUUUUUAAAAAAAGAGCAUGUGUUCUCCGUGUAAACUAGUUGCACAUUGAUGUUCAAUGAGGAUUGAAAAUCUUGUUUCUUACUAAACGUGUCUGGAUUUUUUUUCUUUGGUCAAAUAACAUAGUGGAUAGAAAUCCAUCCACCUCUCAAGAUGAAUAAUUGAGAUGUCCGAAGUUCAAAUCACAACUGAUGCAUAUAUAAUACAAUGUGCUUACUAACUGAGUUAAGUUCAAUGAGACUUUUUAAAUUAAUAACAUUAUAAAUAUUAAACUAACCCAUUUUUUUUAAAUAAAAUUAGAAGCCAAAACAUGUGAAUGCUUUUAUUAAAAUACUUGUAUUCUUUAAUCAUGUUUGGGCUAUGAUUUGGGUUACCUUGUGUUGGCCUGUAUUUUCAAAGUGCUUACUUUCGAGAAGAAAAAUGGUUGUUGAAACCAUGAAAUGCUCUGAGUACGAGGUAUAGAAUAACCAUUUUGACAAGAUUAACUGGAAAGAGGUUCAGUAAGUCUUUGGAUUCGACUAGAAGAAGUUAGUCCCUCGUUGAAUAGGCAAGAUCAAAGGUCCAAACACGUGGAAAACAAGCCAAAUUUGCCGAAUAGAUGUAGUUUAAGACUGUUGGUCAUUUUCAGUCAUUUUCUUAUGUAUUUAUACUAGUUUUUCAUAUGAAAAAAAGGGUCACAAAUCAUUUAUCAAAAGUUAUUUAAAUUCAAAGUAUCCAACAUAGAGAGAAACGAGUGCAGAAUGUAUGCAACAAACUAACUAACAAGAAAUUAAAAACUAUAAAAAAAGAAGAUCAAAACAAAAAUGUAAAAAGCAAGUUUGGUAACUUUUACUAACUAAAAUCAUAUGUUUGUGUUUUGCGAAACCAUAUUUGAUCGAGAUCAUUUGUUGGCGUUUUCUGUAAAUUAGGUCUAAAGCAUAUUAAUUUAUAUGAGUUUUCUGAGUUAUAGAUUGGAAGCGAAAGCAAGAGUAUUGUGUUUUUUUUUGUCUCGAAAGGCAAACCAUAAGCGAUUCAAAGUGGUUUUCCGGUACCAUGAGUCAUGAGACAAACCAUAUUGGAUUGAUAAUGAUUUUAUGUGCAAAAGGUGGACCGAAAACUCAAAUUGUGUUUUCUAUUGCUAACUUAUUACUCUAAUGUUGGAAAUAAUUCAGAGACAAAUAAAAAUAAAUGUAAUUUUAAAUUUUAGGUUUAAUUGCAUUUUUGGACCCCUAUCUUUCCAAAAAUUGCGGUUAUGGACCCCUAACUAAUUUAAAUACAAAACAGCCCCCUAUGUUUUGAUUCUUUGGUAGUUUUGGACCCCCAAGGUAAAAAAAAUAUAUAAAAAAAUGACACGUGGCACCUCACUUAGGGUGCCACGUCAGCGUUGACCGAGUCAACAAUGGACUGGGGGUCCAAAACUGCCAAAGAAUCAAAACAUAGGGGGCUGUUUUGUAUUUAAAUUAGUUAGAGGUCCAUAACCGCAACUUUUGAAAAGAUAGGGAUCCAAAAGUGCAAUUAAACCUAAAUUUUAUAUAUGAGGCCAAAAAUAGGUAGUUCAAGUAAAAUGAAGGGGUGACAAUAUAGAUGUAGCAGUAUAUGGUCAAAUUUACAUCAAUUAGUUCAUUUUUUUUUUGGUUAAAUAUGCUUUUUUAAUUGUGAAAGGUGUUUGGAUUGAAUAUUCCAAAUAUACUUAUACAUCAUUAUGUACAUGCCUAAUCUGGGACUUAACUUUUCAAUAAUAUUUGAAGUUUUUCUAAUUACACCUUGUUUAAUUCUGGUUGCAUCUUAAAAUGACAAAAUUAUCCUUCUAUAAAAUUUAAUUUUCAAAAAGCAUCUUCAUUUUUUCUUGGUUACACCCUAAAAUCCCUCUUCAGUUUAAAUAGGUCAUGUAAACUUAGUUUAAGUAGGUCAUGUAAACUGAGUUUAAGUGUACAUUUAAAAGUUCAACUUUGUUCAAUGAUUCUACGUAAUCUCAGUUUAAGUAUGUACAUGUAAACUUAUUUUAUGUAGGUCAUGUAAACUAAGUUUAAGUGUACAUACUUAAACUCAGUUUAAGUAGAUCAUGUAAACUUAGUUUAAGUGUACAUUUAAAAGUUCAACCUUGUUCAAUGAUUCUACGUAAUCUCAGUUUAAGUAUGUACAUGUAAACUUAUUUUAUGUAGGUCAUGUAAACUAAGUGUACAUACUUAAACUCAGUUUAAGUAGAUCAUGUAAGCUUAGUUUAAGUGUACAUUUAAAAGUUCAACCUUGUUUAAUGAUUCUACGUAAUCUCAGUUUAAGUACGUACAUGUAAACUAAGUUUAAGUGUACCUGCUUAAACUCAGUUUAAGUAGAUCAUGUAAACUUAGUUUAAGUGUACAUUUAAAAGUUCAACCUUGUUCAAUGAUUCUACGUAAUCUCAGUUUAAGUAUGUACAUGUAAACUUAUUUUAAGUAGGUCAUGUAAACUAAGUUUAAGUAUACAUACUUAAACCCAGUUUAAGUAGGUAAUGUAAACACAGUUUAAGUAGGUCAUGUAAAUUGUGUUUAAGUGUACAUCUAAAAGUUCAACUUUGUUCAAUGAUUAUACGUAAUAUCAGUUUAAGUAUGUACAUGUAAACUUAGUUUAAGUAGGUCAUGUAAAUCGAGUUUAAGUGUACAUACUUAAACUCAGUUUAAGUAGGUUAUGUAAACUAAGUUUACAUGAACCUACUUAAACUAAAUUUAAGUUAACCUCAACAAUGUAAAACUGAAACUGUCGUACAGUGUAGUUGAACAAGAAGAAGAAAAUUGAAACCAGCAUUAUUGAAAAAGAAGAAAAAAUUCACUUAUUUAUAUGCAAUCGAGUACGAAUGAAAGAUGUUUUGAUUCACUCUUUAAUCUUCCAUAGAGAUUAACUGAACAUCAAGAUUGUUUGAUCGUUGAUGGGUGAAAGAGAGUGGAAUUUUAGAGUGACAAUGAAUGAAAUCAACAUUUUAAGAAAAUUUAUAUUAAAGGACAAUUUUGGUAUUAUCAAAAACUUUUUAAAAAAACUGGGUGUAACCAGAAAUAUAUAGGGUGUGAAUAGAAAAACUCUAAUAUUUGUCUUAUUCGCAAAAAAAAUAUAUGAAAUAACUACAUAAAUACUAAUAUUCGACAAACUAAUAUAGUAAAAAAAACUAAAUUUUACCUUUGUUGAUUUCAGAAACUCGAUUGUUGGCGCUCUACUGAAAAGUUUUUUGAAAGUCCUAAACCAAUUUUGAAUAAGUGUUGUUUUCCCCCUCCCAAUCCGUUCACUUGGAACCCUAUAUAAAAUAUUGAGAAAGAAACUUGCAACAUGUUAAAAAAUAGAUUUAAAGAAUAAUAUUGUAAAAGUCACACUACAUACAUAUACAAAUCAAUAUUUACCAAUGUAACAAAAAAAAAAUCAAUAUUAAGUGGUAUUCCAAUACGAUCACAAAAAUCCACCAGAUAAGCUUAAUCUUAAUGCAUUUUAUAUUCAUGGCAUAAUUCAUCAAAAGAGCAAGUAUAGUGAACAAUUGAUAAUGUGCCGUACAUGAAGAAAAAAAAAAGUGGGGGGUGCUGGGGACAAAUAGAAAAAUGAAAGAUUCAUGUUUUUUUUUCUUUCAAAGCAAUGCAAAUCAUUAUUAAGGCCUGAGCAUGUUUACAAAAGAGAGAAAGGAAGCCAAAAGCUAUCCUAUAGCAACAAAACAAAGUGUAACUUGCCAAGAAAGCAUAGGGUUGCACAUGCCCCUAAAGAAAUCUAAUCAGAUAAAGCAUAUGUAAAGCAAAAUAGAUGAGUAUCAAAAUUUCCUAAUCCUCUAAUCACCAUAUUUAGGAUUGCUUUUGAUAACACCAUGUUUGGAUCUUGUAUUCACAGCAUCAGAGCCAGACUCAAUAGGAUCUGUAGCGGUUUUGUGUUUUGAUUUGGUGCCAGAAAAUGCUUUGGGACUCUUGGGCUUUCUAGGUCUCCCUCUCUUGCCCUUUUUAACAGUGUCUGUAGGUUGUGAUAAGAAUUUGUGCACUUCAAGAUGAGCCGCUAACAAAGCCUGUUGCUGCUCGGUAUAAGUGUCAGGCUCCAAUGUGUUAUCAAAUGCCUGAUCAGUGUCCAAAUCAUCUGCCCAAAGUUUGCUCAGAAUUUUCUCGCUUUUCCUGCAAGCUUCAGAGUUAUUAACAACUUUAGCAGAUUGAGUAACCUUACCUUUAUUCGGUCCAAGAUUCUCGUCGGUGGUGGUAAUAGGUGAAAGAAUAAAGUCACCAAGUGUAGCUUUUGCAGGUGGAGCAGUUUGCAUAACAAAAAUAGGAUCCCUAGCCGAGCUAGCAGACACAGUUUCAGCGCCAAGGAAUAACAGCCUCGCAGCAUUGCUGUACUGCACAUGAGGUGUUGGAGCUGGUGUGGGUAUCCCAUCAUCAGUCAUCAACUUAGUAUUGUUUAAGGUCAAAAAUACAAACACAUCGGAAACAUUUUGCGAAGUAUCAAAAUCCUUAGAGUGUGCAGCUUAACUCAAACUAACUAUCUUCUCGUAUACCUUAUUAACAAUUUCAGCACCAUCAACCAAAGUGACAUUAGAAAUUUGAUUAGGAUCCUUGUCAAGUAACUGAGCCUCCCCUGAAGGAAUUUCACUUUCUUCGUAUAAUAAGUCAAAAGAAUUGUGAAGAGAUAAUGUUGGAGGGUUAAGACUCUCCUGGGUUGCUGCAAUCUCAGGCACAUCCACAUUACCUCCUUCCUAUUGAGCACGUCUUGGCCAGAGCUAUCCAGAAAUACCCAAUCAGUGGCUUUUCCCAACAUGUCAGAAACACCAGUAGCCGAAACAGAAACCUCUUUCUGAGACAUAUGACAUGAGAUAGCAGAUUUAGAAGUAGAAGGAUAUUGAGCCCCUUGGAAUGUAACAUGCCUCUUACCUUGCCUGACGUUGUUGGUCACCAGGGCAGAUUGUUGAGAGUUGGUGGCAUCAAUAAAAACAUGUUCCUGUUGAGCAACCUUAUAAAUAUGAGUUGAAGAAUAAGAAGGCACAGAGCCUUGACCCUGUUGAGAAGAAGUCCCAACAUGCCUAACAAGUGUAUUACCCUUCCUGGUAUUUCUAGUUUGCAUCUGAGUGUGUUGAGGACCAACAGAAGCAUGAUGCACAGGUUUGUGAAUACCUUCCUGCAAAUUGCCGAACUGCAGCUUAAAGCAAGAGAGGAUAUCAUGUCCUAGCAUUUUACAAUGAGUGCAAAAAGAGGGUUGUUGUUCGUAUUGCACCGAGACUGACAACGUGUGUCCCUCCUGUUCCACAAUAACAGUUUCGAACAGUUGCUCAUAUAAGUCCACAUCAAUCAAAACACGUGCAAAGAGGCCAAAGCACCUGGGCAUAGUAGCAUCAUCUAUAAUCAAAGGUGUGCCAAGACUAGAAGCAAUUUCCAAGAGAGUUGUCUUACACCAAUAUUCUCGAGGCAAGCGUAAAAGUCGUACCCAAAUUUGAGCGUGAGUCUGAACCUGUGUUUAAGUAUCACAGUCACUGACCAGCAAAAAAACCUCAUCAAUCCAGGCUAGGGUACAAUUACGAAGUUAAAACAUGACGGCCAGAGAAAGAAAUUCUGGAAAAACUGGAAGACGGGAGAAGAAAGCUUUGUAGGAAUUUCGUAAAGUGGCCAUUAUUUUUUGUUUUGUUUUCAUUCUAAUUUUUUUAUUGCUAUUAUAUUUUCCCAUUUAUUUCGUUUUUGAACUCCAAAUGAAGGUGAAAAAUUAUUAAAGAGGAUUUAAAAAGAAGCAAAUAUAGUUAUGAAAUUGAAGAGAGUUGUGUGAGCGGCGAUUUUGAGCUUCCAGUUUGAAAGAGAAGAAGUUUAUCUUGAAAGAAAGAAAAAAGAGACGAUAUAUGGAAUGAUAGAGACAAAGAAAAAGUGAAAGGAAGAAAAGGGUAUCCAGGAAAAGGAAAAGAAAAUUGUGAUUAAAAAAUUAAAUUUAAAAUUUGAAAAGUAGUUUGCUCUUAAUUAGUGACAAAGACAAAACUGUCCUUGAUUUUACUUAUGUGUUGACUUCGAGAGAUUGGCGGUCAUUCAUAUAAAAAAUAAUAAAGAAGAAAUUGGCGGUUUAAUUUUUUUUUGUCAGUAUACUAUUUUUCGCUAUUACAACAUGAAGAGAAAAAACAAACAAAUGGUAUUAAACAAGACGAUUCUCCCAAACCAAUCCAUGAAUGGCGGAGUUUGUUGGUUUGAUUAGGACUCCGACGUAGAGUACAUUCUUGGCUUUUAUAGUAAUAUUGACUUGAUGCAUGAGAUUCAAAUUUGUUGGAAGGAAGGUCUUAAGAGUACGACGUGUUACACAAACUCUUUGCAUACUCUCCACCUGGUACAUCAUGUCGAUACACUCACACACCAUUAUGGCAACGAGACAACGACCAUAAAAAAGUAAACGAUAAUGAUUGAACUUUCCAAUUGCGUCAUAUUCUCAUGGAAGAAGGUAAUAUGUUUUGAUUAUCUUGCAAAACUUCAAACGCGAACAAUGGAUCGACGACUCUUCUAGAUGCCCUUGCUGAACUUCGUUUGGCAAUUGCCACUUACAAUGAACAAAUAGGUUUAUUUUGCCCCUGCAAUUUCCAGCGUUGUUAGUUUGCUAUAUUUUAGUGUGUAGACGAAGUAACAAACACCACAUAAAACUCUAAAAAAUGUAUCCGAACUUUAAAAACUUUUUUAUAUAUAAAAAAGAAAUAAGAGAACAGCCAAUCUAAUAAAAAAAAAGUAAAAGUAUUAUUUUUAGGUAGAUUAUAACAAAGUGACGCACACAUGUUAUGAUUUUGAUCAUCACUUAUCAUCAUCACCUCCAAAUCGAAUUCAACUUAGGUCGUGUUGGACUCAACUGGUGGUUGCACUUUAUAAAAAAGAAGAAGAAGAAGAAGAGGACCAACAAAACAACUCAUAACCCACAAUACAAAGAAUAUUCCAUUAAUAUUAUUUUUCUGCUCGAUAAUUCAAUUCAAUUCCAGGUAUUACAUACUGUUUCUUCCAAACCAAAACACAAACAAGACAAAAACAAACACCUUGGUGCGGUAAAAGGUUUUUGAUGAUUUGUUACGGUGUUGUUGUUUGAUUCAACGAUGAAGAAGAAACCCAUGGAGAGUGUGAAUGAUCUGAUCCAAGAGUUUAAGCUCCGCACUCUUUGGUGGGCUCUCUCUAUUUUCGCCGUUUCUUAUUUCCUCACUCGUAAGUUUCACUUUUUUUGUUGUUUGAAAUUUGAAUUAUUAGCUUAAGUUUCAUAUAUUUUGCUUGAUGAUAGGUUCUAGCAUAAGACCAUAGUGUGUGUAUUUUCUGGUUUACUUUGUGUUUUUUUCUUUCUUUUUCUUUCUUUGUAUUCAUGUUCCAUGUGUUGAUUAUCUGUCACAGAUACAAGUAAAUCGAUGUGGAUGAAUGUGCCGAUGUCAAUUCUAUUUGUUUGUGCUCUGCGCAUUAUUGUAAAUAAUGUGGAAUUUCGUUGGAAGGUUAAACAACCUAGAUCACAUACAUAUUUAUCACAUUUGGAGAAAAAACAGUUGUCUUUGAAUGAUCCGCGUCUCUCUAGUGUACCUCCCCCGGUAAAGUGGAAGAGGAAAAUUGAUUCUCCUGUUGUGGAGGAUGCAAUGGCUGAUUUCAUUGAUAAGAUUUUGAAGGAUUUCGUGGUUGAUUUGUGGUACUCGGAGAUUACUCCGGAUAGGGAGUUUCCUGAUCAGAUACGCGCUAUAAUCAUGGAUGUUCUUGCUGAAAUAUCAGCAAGGGUUAAAGAGAUAAAUCUUGUCGACUUGUUGACAAGGUAUGCUGCUUUUCCUGUCCUAUGAUGCCUGCCAAAGAUAAAGUAUUAUGAAAACUACUGAUUUUUGUUCUGAUUUAUUUACGUUUCAGGGAUUUAGUUGAUUUAGUAGGCGAUCACUUGGAACUUUUUAGAAGAAAUCAAGCGGCUAUAGGUGUCGACGUUAUGAAAACAUUAUCUACAGAGGAGAGGGAUGACAGAUUGAAAUUCCAUUUGUUGAACUCUAAGGAGCUUCAUCCAGCACUAAGAUCUCCCGAGAGUGAGUACAAGGUGUGAGUGGAUCAGUGGAGUGUUCCAAUGAUAUACAAUGUUUCUUUUGUUUGAGAACUAUUUCUUAUUAUCUUAUCUGACGAAUGAAUGCUCUUUUUGUAGGUUCUUCAGCGGCUAAUGAGUGCACUUUUAGCUACAGUACUAAGACAACGUGAAGCACAGUGUCCCGUGAUUCGCUCAAUAUCUCGGGAACUUUUGACUUGCUUGGUGAUGCAACCUGUUAUGAAUUUGGCAAGCCCUGGGUAUGUCGUUGAAUAUUGUCACAUUUAUUUUUGUAAUAAUUACUUUUUUGGGGAGAUGGAUCUUAACAAUAUGAGCUCUAUGGAAUGGUUGCUACAUCAUAUUCAAGAUUUUGAAUAGUCUUUUAAGUUGUGUUUUUGUAGGGAGUCGGGGGGGUUUUCGUAGGUCUAAAACAUAUUUAGGGCCCAUUUGGUUAAGUAGGCAGAAUAUGGGAAGAUACAAAAGAGGGCUGAAUGGAAAUGAUAUUCAUCGUUAUGGCGCAGAGUAUGAAUGUACUUUAUUGUUCACCUCAUAUUUAUGCCAUGUCAUUGUCAAUGAAGUCCGAAGUGAUUUUAUUCUGUUUCGGCUGUUAUUUUUUGAAGUUGUGGUUUUAAAACUAGAAAGAGUAUGAUGAGGCCAUUGAUAAUAUUAAUUUUAAAUCAGAUUUUAGAAUAAGUCAAAGGAAAGAACUAUUUUAUUGAAAGAAUAAAAGUUAGAAAGAUAAUGGGAUAGAAAUCUCUUCUGCAAGGGUUUCCUCUUCUACAACAGAGUCACUACUCUAUUCGCAAAAGUUUACAGUACUCAAUAAUAUUCUCUCCAACUCAAUAACCUCCCUAUUUAUUAUACAUGAAAAAAACUACUCCCUCCGUUUCUAAAUAUAAGCAAAAUUGACUUUUUAGGUUCAUUCAAUUAAUGAUGUAUGUGGUCCAUAUUAAUUGACUUUUUAGGUUCAUUCAAUUAAUGAUGUAUGUGGUCCAUAAUAUUUAGAAACGGAGGGAGUACCCCAUUAGCUGAUAACUUCCCUAACUAACUCCUAGGGCUGAGCAUCGGGCGGGUUCGGUCUGAAAAGUACCCAUCUGAAUGAAACUGCCAGUGGAAAAUAGGCACCCAUUCUUGACUGUCGAAGGCUCCGGUUUAGGCGGGUUUCGGGUUGUGUUGGAGACAGGUUAUAUGGGUGGGUUCCUUUGGUUUGGUCAGAAGAAACAAUCUCAAUGCCAGGUGAUAAUUUCAAGCAACAACACAUUCAAGCCGGAACACUUCAAGUCGUGCUACACCUAGAAUCUUCCUGCAGUUUCACACCUUCAGAUGUUUGCAAAACCAUGAUCUCCUUCUGUUUAGCAAAUAGCUUUGUCGGAAAGGAAGAAAAAGAAUUGGAAACAAACAAGGGAGUAUUGAAAAAGGAGUGAACAAGAUAAACAUACAAGCAUACAAUGCAAAAAUAAAGGUGCAGAAAGCAUUGAAACAGUAAUGGAUCUGCAUCUUGGAAAAUUUAUUUUGCAGUAGACUUAGAGAUAAGGAGGAUUCACAAAAAUAUAUUUUCCUUUUUUAUUUAUAUUACAUAAUACUUUUAGUUUUUAUUAAUAUUAGAUGAUACUUUUAGCUUGUUUAUUGUGAGCAGUAGUAGUAGUAUGGGACAUUGGCAGAGGAUAAGGACGGUGGAAAGACACAGGGAGAGAGGAAAUAUUGAUAAAUGGGAAACGUGUGUGGUAUAGAGGAAAAAGAAAGAAAGUUGACUGACUUUAACAAGUAACAAUUGGUCUCACUCUGUCAGAUAGUUAUACAUACUUUGAGGUUCGGUCGGGUAUGGGUAUCGAUAGAUUUCAUUUUCCAGAACCGCACCCGACCGUAUCAGCCCACUCUUAAAGUGAAUUAAUGCAUUUUAAUACCCGAAACCCAAUCAAACCCGCCAUAGAACCCAAUUUUGUUUCGGUUUUAUCGGGUUCCGGGCGAGUCACCAUCUUUUGCUUAGACCUAUUAACUCCUUAUCGCAUAUCCUAACAUCUGCUAAUCCUGAUCGUUGUGAUUCCAUUUCGAAACAAUGGCUUUGUGUUUUGUCCAACUAUCAUACCCUCCUGUUUCAUCAAAAACCAGUACCGAAACUUUAAGAUUUAUAUUUAGGUUUAAAAGAGCAAAUCGUAUUGUUUAACUGAGAACAUCAUUAACCAAGGAUCUCGUAAAAGUUUAAGCUGUUGGGUGAGGACACUUCAGUGAUUUUAUACUAUAUAUGUCUAACAUGGUCCCGCAUGCUGGGACGGAGGGAGAAGGGGGACUGGCAGGUGCCAUGGCCACCACCGAGUUUUAUAAUUCAUUCGAGUGUUACAUGGUUAAUUACUUUAUGGCCCCAUGAUAGGUUAAUUACCUUAUGGCCCCAUAAUUGGUUAAUUACUAAGCAAUUUUGCCGUAAACAGUAGCUAGGUCGAAUCGUUGUUUUAUUUUGUAGCAUGCAAAACAUAUUAUAUAAAUAUUAGAGUUUUGUUGUGUUCAUGGUCCCUCUGAAUUAUGAUUCCUGACGUCGUCGCUGCCCUCACGCAAUAGCUCUUUAAGCUUGCAGUGUUCAUAAUGCAUAGGUGCACCUACCAUGUGCUGAAAUUCAACUUUUUAAUGAAU